RNAcentral lists this long non-coding RNA (44623 nucleotides) under Physcomitrium patens. Its description in RNAcentral is "long non-coding RNA (PPAT_LNC000060)". The record is from RNAcentral. Lineage: Eukaryota; Viridiplantae; Streptophyta; Bryopsida; Funariales; Funariaceae.
AGGAUUCAGUUUAGGAUUUGAUUAGGAUUUGGUUUGGAGUUUAGGAUUUGGAUUAGGAUUUGAUUUAGGAUUUAAGAUUUAAUUAGGGUUUGGUUUAGGGUUUAGAGUUUGGAUUAGGGUUUGAUUUAGGAUUUAGGAUUUGGAUAGGGUUUGAUUUAUGAUUUAGGAUUUGGUUAGAGUUUGGUUUAGGAUUUGGAUUAGGGUUUGGUUUAGGAUUUGGUUAGGAUUUGGUUAGGAUUUAGGGUUUGGAUUAGGAUUUGGUUUAGGAUUUGAUUAGGAUUUGAUUUAGGAUUUAAGAUUUUAUUGGGAUUUAAGAUUCUAUUAAUUUGGCUUAAAGUUUGAAUGAAGUUCAAUAGGAUUUUAACUAUAAUUAAACUAAGAUUGAAUUGAGAUGUAUUUGAAUGACAUUUGUGUUCUUUCUAAUGUUUCUUUAAAAAUUCCUAUUGUUUGUUUGAAAUUUCUUUGAGGUUUUUUUGAAUUUGAUUAAGCUUGCUUAGCAUUAUUAUAAUCUAAUUAGAGUAUUAUUAAUAUUCUAUUAGAAUUAAGGUUUUGUUAUUACAAUUUCCAUUCUUCCUUCCACAACCAAGUGCCCGAAGCAUUCUCAAGCCAGACUUCACGUAUUACGACACCAUGUAUAUAAAUCACAAGAACUUUAAUUAUUUCAUAUCAGCUCAUAUUUUGAAUUAUUGCUAAGCUCAUUGGAGCAUGUCUCUAUGAAGAUUUGAAUUCAAUAUUACAUAUCAGCUAAGAAAAUAAUAAAAUUUAUCUGAUUCUUUUUUUGGAUAUUCUUAUUUUAUAUCUAAAGAAAGAAAUGCAGCUUUUGAUCAACAAUUGAUAAUUUUAUUGAAGCCAAAAUAAUUUCAUCUUUGAGUAGUGAAAUCAACAUUGACUAUUGAUUCAACUUUUCUCAAACAAAUUCAAUAAAGUAUGUCCUCUAAUCUUCUUACUCAUGAUAUCAAGAAUACUUCUUCUAAGGCUUAUAACACUUCUAAGUUUGAGUUCAAAAAUAGCCUACUUUAUUUCAAAAGAUGCCUAUAUGUACCAAACAGAGAAGCACAUUCACAAGUUCUUCAAACAUGUCAUGACUUUCUAACAAUAGGAUAUUUUGGAUAUAAUAAGACCUUCAAGUUAAUAUCUAAAGAUUUUUGGUGGCGACAAAUAUAGAAGGCUGUAAAAGAUUUUGUUCAGUCAUGUGACAUUUGUUCAAGGUCAAAAACUCCUUGUCAUUGAUCUUAUGGACUUCUUUAGCCAUUACCUAUUUCAGAAUAUCCAUGGUCUUUUAUUUCUAUGGAUUUUAUUACAAAUCUUUCGGUCUCAAGCUUAUAUCAUUUUAUAUUUAUGAAAGUAGUUUUUUUUUUUUUUUUUUUUUUUUUUUUUUUUUUUUUCGAAAUGGCAUAUUUUAUAUUAUACACAAAAUCUAUCUUUAUGUGAAAAAAAUGCCAAGCUUUUCUUUGACAAUAUCUAUUGAUAUCAUGGAUUGCUAAAAGAUAUUAUAUUAGAUAGGAGGAUUCAAUUUGUAUCAAGAUUUUGGAGAAUUCUUUUUAAGAUUCUAAAGGUAGAUAUAAAGCUUUCCUUGGUCUUUCAUUCUCAAACUGAUGGAAAAACAGAGCACAUAAACCAAGUUUUGGAGUAAUAUUUAAGGUCUAUAAUUAAAUAUCAAGAAGAUAAAUAGAAAAUCCUUUGCCAUUGAUAGAAUUAGCUUAUUAUAAUACAAUACAUUUUUCUAAGCAACAAAUAUUUUUUUUUGCCAAUUAUGAUUACCAUCUACAACUUGAUACUUUUGACUUUUCAAAAAUUGAUAAUCGUGCAUAAAAAGGUUUAAAAAAAUAUUUGUUUAAACUACAUGCAACAAUGAAGGCGUAAUCAAAGGAAGCUCAAGAAUGACAAAAAAUCAAUGCAGAUACUUAUCAAAAAGAAUAACUAUAAUUGAAUAUAGGUGAUAAGAUAUGGUUACUUCAUCAUAAUACCAAGUUUACUCAUUCUUGUGAUAAAUAAGAUAUUGGUAAAAUAGACUAAUAGUCCAUAGAAUAGUUAAUUCAGGAAGACGGAUGAUUGAUUUAGUUAUUAAAAGUGGUUAAUUAUAGGAUUAUGAUUAGAAUCUGGAAAUCAGGAGCAAUUAUAUAGGAGUUGCAGAAGUUUGUUGGAGUACCAAACUAUAAUAGUCAUGAGCCGGGGUAAGCUUGGUGCUACUUCUUUGUUUCUUUGUUUCUUUGUUUUUUUUGUUGUUGAAGAGUAAUGGAUAGUUUUUGAAUACUGAGAAGUGAGUCUGUGGAAUAAAUCAGAGAUUGAUUUAUGAGUUAUUGAUUAUGUAAUUGGAGUACUGUGUGAUUGAAUUAUAUGAGAAGUUAUUGGAAGAUUAUAAUUGUUGUUUAUUGAGAGGUGUGUAUGUUUCGACAAAAGAAGUCUGUGAUUACAAAAAUUAUGUGAAUUCAGAUUGGUUGGAGUGAAGUCUAUUAUUCUUGGUAUUAGAUGGAAAUUAUGUCUUUUGAGAGUAUAUGAUUGCACACUAUUGUUAUUAGAUGAUGAAGGAGUAUUGUUAGUGAAAGAAAGCAUUGUAGCAUUUCUUAGUAUUUUAGUGGUUAAAAAUACAAUUAAUUGUGUGACCCUAACAAGUAAAACUCAUGCACUUAGUCUUUUCCUAUGUUCGAAUUCCCAUAUACAUGUUUAUUUUGAAAGGAAUUUGUAGAAUAAAUAAAAUGAUAAUCACACGAUAGAAUCGAUUUAAAGAUCCUAAAGAACGACAUGUACUUCUUCAUAUAGAUGGCAAGAUACAAUGUAUUUGGUAUGACUACCUUCGAAGGAAUUCUCGAUGUUUGGUGAUUUUAUUAGAGGUAGGAAGAAUUCUUGAUAGUGUUUCAAAUAUUUUAUUUGAAGGAAGUUAUAAAGGCCUCAACAAUGAUCAAAUAACUUGAUGGUCUUUUUACCUUAGUAUGGAACAUUAUCGAUGGUUAAGAAGCCCUAUCAACUAUCUUCGAAGAGAAUAAAGAUCAGAGUAUGUGACAAAUACAAUUUGACUCAUGAUGAUUAUUUUUUGUGGAACUCAUUUCUAAAAGGGAGGAUAAUAUCAUGGACAUAAACAUGUAAAUCAAUAAUUACCUAUAUGAUUAAAUAAAAAUAGGUAAAAAUAGGUUAAUUCCAUAAUAUCUUCUAUAGAAGCUUCCUAAGAGCUUCAUAGACAUUGUUUUGAUUUUAUAAGUAUCUACAAUUGACUUUUUAGGUUAGAAACAAGGUCAACAAGUUGGCCAUGUGCGACAUAUGUUGGUAGCUUGAAGAAUAAGCUAAUUAUAUGGCCCACACAUAGAAAAAUUGCCUGUAAGCAAAGGCAUGUGCCCUGCAAAAUCAACACAUAUUAGAGGUCCUAUAGAACAUUGCCAUAUAGUUCCCAAUUAGAUAGUAUAUAUAGACGUAAAAGUUAAUCGUUCUUCACUCUUGUCAACUUUUUUAUUGCUUCUAGUUUAGAUUUAAGAAUCUCUCAUUUUUUUUGUCUUUUGGCAAUAGUCAUUCUAAUUUAUUUUUAAUAUAUAUAUUACUUUAUUAUUAUUUUGUUACUUUUCUUUUAAAAUAAAUUUCCCAGAUUUAUACAUCUUCUUCCGAUUUAUGUCUUUGAUAGUAUUAUAAAACAAAAGACAUGCUUGCUAAUUUUUUGACAAAGGCAUUAAUAAAAGAUAGACAUCACAUGUUGACAAAGAUAUUAAGAUUAAAAGCCAUUAACCAAUAGAAAAUAGGAGAGUUAAAGUAAAUUAAUAAAAAUAAAAUAAAUUACUUUAUAGAAGAUUUUAUUUUAAGUAAGUUACCAAUGGUCAAAAGAUUCAUUCUUGAUAUAUGAAAAGGGUAUUCUUUGUAUAUAAGACGAAAUCAAGGGUGAAGAGUCAAGUUGAAGAAAAUAAAGAAUCAAAUAGAAAAUAUCUAAGGACUUAGUAAAAAUAAUUAAUAUUUGGCAUAGGAUAUCCUUUCGGUUAAUGAUAUGCCAAAGGAUCCAAAGACUAUAUAAUACACUUGUAGUAAGUUAGAUGCCAAAGGAUCCAAAAUUCAUGUGUAUAAAAGUCAAAUAAUAGAAGUUAUCUUUUACGGCAGCAGAUACGACCUAUAAGUAAUAGAUAGUGGAAGUAAGAAUCAUCUUACUCCAUAUUCUCUUUGUAAGCAACUUUGUUAAUGCUAUGUAUUGUAUCAUCAAAGUUCUUUUUUCUUCAAUAAUAUUAGCUUAGUUGAUAUUUUUUUAUUAAUAUAAUUUUUUUAAAUAUAUAUAUAUAUAUAUAUUUAAAAUCUUAUUUUAUAAAUUUUAAAAUACUAUAUUAUGUCUUUAAUUGCAAAAUUUUAAUAAAAAUCUUGCAUUUUUAUUUUUAAUAAUUGAUUAUAUGUUUAUUAUUUUCUUAAAAAAUAUAAAUAAUAAAAUAAUAAGAUAUCUAAAAUUAGACUCGAAUAAAAAUAAUUUAAAAAAAAUAUAAUAUAGGUUGAUUACAAUCUUUCUAAGUGAUACAAUAAUAAGCUUAUAAAUAAUCAAAUUAUUAUUCUAUUCUAAUUUCAAUUUUUUCUCAUCAAAUAAACAUUCUAUAUUAUAUUAGUAUUCUUUUGUUUUUAUUUGUUAUUCUUUAUAAAGCACUUAGUUCACCUAUUAGAUUUUAUAGGAUGUUUAGGUAGACCAUUUUUAAGAGCCCAUCUAUGGUUUGAUCAAUUUUGAAAGAAUUUUGAAAAGUUACAGCAAAUUCGUCCAAUUCUAUAACUUUUAUUUUUCCAAAAUUAUGUUCCUGAAUUUUGGUUUUUAUUUUUUCCAGUAAAAUUUAAAUAUUAAAUUUUAUGAAAUUUCUCUUUGAUGUGUUUUUAAAUAAUUUUUAGUAUUUUUGAAUAAUCUAAAUAUUUAUUUUAUAUUUAUUUCUUAAAUAUAAAACAUCAAAAGAUAUUAGAUAUAUCUUAAUCAUGAUUAAAAAUACAAGGUAAUAUUUUGAUCUAUUAUUCUAAAUUUAUUUUAAGCAGUUCUUGCUAAAAUUUGACUAAUUUUUAAAUAUAUAAGAUGACCUUUUCAUACAAUUCGAAUCGUAUUUUAGUUCAUAUUGGAAAAUAAAAAAAUAAAAUAAAAUAAAAAUAACCUAAAAAACCUAAAAUAUUUUAUGUUCCUAUCACAUUAAUACUUAACAUCCUUCAUUGUCUUUAUGAUUCUUACCAAUAUCUGUCUAGCAAUACUCUAAUAAUUCUUUUUAUGUUUAUAUUGCUUCUGAAACAGAUGUACAAGGUACAAAUAUUUUAUGGUUUGGUUAUUAUCAAGAGAAUUUUAACUAUAAUUAAGAAUCAAAGACCAAUAGCCUUUGUUUAUGGUUUCUUAGAUUUAUUGUUGAGUUUUGAUCUAUAUCAUAUUUAUUGUUGCCUCUACAUUUGAUAUGCUCAAUUUACUUAUUUAAACAUAUUUUUAAUACUUAAAACUUCGUAUAUUUCUUAUAUUCCUUUACUUUAGCAUUUAAUACAUUAUUCUAUCACUUUUUUAUUACUGUAUUUAUAUCCUAUUGCAAUUCAUGAAUAUAAACUAAUUGCAUUGCUGGUUGAUUGGAUUACUUAUUUUACUUACUUUCGAUCUUUAAAAGUUUAUCGCCAUUAUUUUAGAAGUACAUAGAGAUCAUGUAUAGUACAGUACUAACUUUGAUGUUUUUUUUUUCUUGAGUUUUUUCUAAUUUUUAUAAUCUAUGGUUCAUGCAAAACUUGUGUUUUAUAACCCAAGGCAAAGGGAUAAUUUUAAACAUUGAUUUUGGUUAUCAAACUAUAUUUUAAUCUCAUUUUUGUAAGCAUCAAUUUUUUGUUGUUGUUAAAGGUAUAUAUGACCCUAACAACCUUAUUUAACUUGAAGAAAUUGAAUUAAAGAAAUAUAAAAAAAGAUCUAGUUGUAGGUAGACAUAAUAUUAUGCCAAGAAAUAAAUUAUUGUUUAAGGUUAAAAAUAUUUCAAAAGUAUUUAAGAAAUAUAGAGUUAAAACUUUAAAAAUUAUAAAUAGAAAGAAUAAAGGAAAAACAUAGAAAAUUGAGAAAGAUCAUACAACAAAAAAGAAAGAUAGAUGUGAAGGAAGAGUAUACAAAGAAAGAAAGAUGAUUAGAUAGUACAGGGUAUUAGAAAAAGAUGAUAUUUCAAUAAGGCCUAAAAGUAAAUAAAAUUCACUUGUAAUUUUAAUUUUUAAAUAAAAUUAAUAUAAAAAAUUAAGUCUAAAUGUUUGCUUUAUUAAUUAUAUAUUAUGACUAAUUGAUACAAGUUAAGUGUAGUUUUAGAAAUAAAUAUUUAAAUAAUAAUAAUAAUAAUGAUAAUAAUAAUAAUAUUCUGAACUUUAAUUUUUUUAGGAAGAAUAAAUAAAAAAUAUUAAGAAGUAAUAUUAUUUAUUUAACUAAUUAAAAUUUAAUAUUUAUUUGACUUAUAUAAUAUUUUUAAUAUACUAAGAAAGUAUUUUUUUUUUUUCUUAUUUACCACAAUUUUAAAUAUGUUGUAAAGACAAAAUAUAUGUUAGUAUAAGGAGGUGGAAAAACAUUUUUUAUGAUGCAAUAAUGCUUUUUGUAUAGAUAAGUAGAGCUGAGUUAAAAUAAGAAAUUUAUUAUACUAGUUUGGUAUAAAGCUUAAAUAUAAGAGAUAUUAAUAAAGUAACGACAACUUCUCUAUAAUAUACUAAUUAGAAACUAUGAUUUUUUAACAAGUAGUCAGUACAUAGUCUAAUUGUAGAUAGUUUGAUUCAAUGACUAGGUAAAAAUUAACUUCAAUAGCAUACAGUAAUCAAACAUAUAAUAAUAUCUAUAUUUUCUUUAUCAUCAAUCCAAUGUACACUUUUGUAGCUAUUCACUUUUAUGUUAUUACUACCAAGACACAACUUGAGCUUUAAUAUGACCUUUAACUACUAAUCAUUCUUAUAAGUGUUUUUUUUUUUUUUUUUUUUUUUUUUUAAUUUUUCAAAUUAGCUUUAAAAAUACAUUAAAUCAUAAGUAAUAUUUUGUGUGUAAGAUCUACUCUUAUACCUAUUAUUUUAUAUAUUAGAGAGUCUAACAUUGCUUUAUGUAUAAAAAUAUUAUUUUAACUAUAACUGGUACAAAUGUUUUAGAAAAUAAGAUAGAAUACCAUUAGAUUUAAUUUUUAAUUUUUAAUUUUUUUUGUUGAAGUGUUAAGUUACUUCUUUGAUGCAAUUUCUUUGACUUUUGUAAAAUAUUGAGCUUGGUAUAAUUUUUUUAUUAUUCAAAUUUAUUUUCAUGACAUAACUUUCCAAAGUCGUUUUUUUUAAAGUCUUACAAAUACAGACUUUAUUUACGCUUUCUCUAUUUUAUUUAUUUAUUUAUUUAUUUAUUGGCUAAGUUGAUUGAAACUUCUAUAUAAAAAUCAUAACUUAAAAGAGUUGUCUAAAUUGCAUGACAUACAAAUAAAAGAUCCACUUCAUUAUUUAUUAAACUUUUAUUAACAUUAAUGCAUUAUUACAAUAUUGUGGAUCUAUGUCUGAAGCCAUGCCACAAUUUUACUUGUAUUCAAAAAAAUUCUUUGCUUUCUUAUACAAAUCUAAUACUCUUGUCCAUAUACAAGUAUAUUUUUGAAUAUAUAAUUCCUUAUCCAACUCUUUCUUUAAGAAGAUUUUCUGUAUAUCCAUUUCAUUCAUUUUCAAGUCUAUUCCUACUUUAAUUUCUAAUAUUGUCCUAUUGGUAGUAAAUUUUGAAAUAAAUAUAAAUAUCUUAUUAUAAUCCACAUCAAGCACUUAUAAGUAUUAUUUGGAAGCUAAUCUUGUCUUAAGUUUCAUAAUUAUACUUAAUGGUAGUAUUUUGGUACGAAAUAUUGACUUAUAUUCUAUUUGUACAAUUUGGAGAUAAAUGAGUAAAUUUUUAUAUACUAUAUAGUUUUUUUUUUUUUUUUUUUUUUUUUUUUUUUUUCUUUUAAAAUCUUCUCCCACUUAUUUUCAAUUGCAAAAAAAUGACUUUACAAAAUAUAAACAAAAUAGAAAAAAAUGACAUCCCUAUGUAUUUUAUAGAUUUAUAAAAAAUGGAUUCUUCUAUGACUUUUUAUGUAACUUUUUUUUAUUUAUAAAAUAUCAAAGUGGGACAAAUAAGCAGGGCACCACUGAUGUGUGUACAUUGCAUUUAUUACUAUUUUUGUCUGAAAUUCAUGGCUUAUGUGUUAAAUAUGUAAAAUAUUCAUUGACAUGUCUAUAAUAAGACAAUUAAUACAUUCUAUAAUUUUAUUUUGUUGAACACUAUAUAGCAUGGAAAUUUUUCUUCUACUGAUUGUAUCAUCCAAAUCCUAAAAAAUCUCUUUGAUUAAAACUCGCUAUCUGUGUCUAUGCACAAUGACUUUAUAUGGACCUAGAAUUGUUUUUCUACAAAAGUUUGAAAGUCUAAAACAUUUGUAAUGUAAUUAAUAUUAAUAUCAAGUAAAUAAAUCAAAAAUUUAUCUUAGAAAAAUGCUAAUACAAAUUUAAAAUAAAAAUGUGGUUUGGACAAGUUAAAAAACAUUAAAAUGCAUUAUCUCCAAACACCUUGGUGGUUCUUAUAAUUCCACCAUUUAUAAAUGAAGUCAUUUGCUACUUAUUCUCAAUACAUUUUUCACAAGUAUAUGUCUUUUGUAUUUUAGUUCAAAUUCAAGUUAUUUACUAUGCUUUGAAAUUCUUUUGUGCUACUUCCUUUUACAUAGCUAAGAAAAUAAUAAAAUUUUAUAAUUUUUUCUUAAUAAGAUAGAAAAUCAAUUAAUGAAACAAUGUCUUAUCUAUUCACCUUCUUAUAAAUGACCAGAUAUUAAUUGUUGAAUCUUGUAUAUGGGACUAUUAAUUUUCUAUUUAAAAUUUAUAUUAUAUUAGUAUUUACCUAAAAAAAACCAUAAAAUCUCUUAUAAUAGUUUUAUUCAUGAAAAAUACUUUUGACUCUAUUUUAGGUAGACAUAUAUUUAAUCUUCUUCUUUUCUUUUCUUUUCUUUUCUUUUUUUUUCAUUAUAGAAUAUUAACAAUAAUAAAUUUUAAUCUAAUAGCUUUGAUUAUGCCAAUUUUUUUAUAAGUAUCUUUAUGCAUAGAAUAUAUUCAUAAAUGUCAAAUAAGAAGUGCAAUGGUAAUAUAUAUAUAUAUAUAUAUAUAUAUAUGUUAAUAUAUAUAUAUAUAUAUAUGUUAAUAUAUGAGUCCCUUAAUCUAAGUCAUAAGCCAUAAAACUUCUUCUAUUUGUCAAAAAUAUACAAUCAUUUAUUCUAAAUUCAUAUAUUACAUUUUUGAUAUAUUCUCUUCAAUUGCUUUGCCUUGUACUUUAAACUGAAACAGGUUGCUUAGAGUGUUGCUUAGAGUGUCGUUUAGAAAUAAUUUCUUUACCUUAUUUUGUAAGAAGAAUCAAAUCUUUGACUUGAGACUACUUGUGCUGGUUUUAUUUUAUUUUAUUUUCUUUUUCUUUUUCUCUCUCUUAAUCUUUGUAUUAUAUAAUCAAGUACAAAAUCUUUAAAAUUAAUAGAUUCACCAAUAAUAUUGCUCCAUUAUUUGGAUAUUUACACUUUUUGAUAGAAGAUCUUUAGAGUUAUCAGAAAUGUUCUAAAACUUAAUCACAAUUUUAUUUCUUCCUAAUGAUAGAAUUUGGAUCAACAAAAUUUAUUAAUAAUCUUCAAAUUCUUACCUUCAUAUGAUACUAUGUUUAAUGCACUAAAUAUAUAUAUAUAUAUAUAUAUAUAUUGAAUUUAUAAUAUAAUAGAUGUUUUGGAACUUAGAUAGUUUCCUUAAGAUCUAAAAAUAGUCACUUUCACUUUUGAAAACUAUCAAAAUUUGGCAUUGACUUCAAACACUAUCUCUUUGUUUUUAAUUUAUUGAAUAAUAUCUUAAAGUUUCUACAAGUCCUAAAAAAGCUCUUUAAACUUUGAUUAUAACAUUCUCUUAAGAUAUAAUUUUAAGUAUAAUUCUUAAGAAAAUGUUAUAAUCAAAGUUAUAUUUUAAAAUUACUUACACUUUGAUUGACUAUACAUACAGUUAAGGAGUUAAGGGGUAAUGAUUCACUCUAUUCAUCUUCUUUAAUGGUAUGUUCUUCAAAACACAUAAUAUUUAUAUAAAGUGUCUUUAACAUUUAAUUUAGCAAGUAUUCUUAAAUCUUUUAUUAAAAACGGUACAAUAACACAUAGUUUUUACUUUCCAAAACUCACAAAUAAUUAUAUAUAUUUAUAACAAUAAAUUAACUUUGUUUUUUCCAACUACUAAACUUUAUCAAAAGUUAAAAUUCCAAGCAUAUUUAAUGGUUAUAGAGUUCCUACUAUUCAUUGCCACAUCGACAUACUGCUUCCCCUCUGUGCUCUUUGCAUGAUGACUAAAAAUUCUUUCUUUAUUCAUGGUAUAAUCCAGAUCAUGCCACUGCCUCUUCUUUCUUUGCUGCACUUGAAGAUGGAAGAACAGUUUCAAUCCAUUGCUUGCAGACUUUAACUUACGAGCAAACUUGAUUAACAUGCCAAGUUUCAGAGAUAAUGCACGUUAUCUUCACAACAGCCUAAGCUAAUUUGAGCCUAACCACGAAGGAGUUUUGAUGCACAUGCUAGAAUCGUCUAUUACGUAGCCAUCUCAAUGUUACAAGAAUGAUAAUAAAACUCACAAAAUGAACCAUGUUUACACGAUGAGCGAACAUAAUUUUAUUUAUGAAAUGUGGGUAUUAUAGACAUCAUCACUCUGGCAGCAUGGGAGGUCACCCAUCAACACCGCAUAAUCAAAGAACAACCUGAUUUGGCUUGAAGUAGCGACUGGCUCCAAAUGUGCAAUUACAUCACUGCAAGAUCACGUUACUAUUCAGCACUUUCAGAAAAUUUGGUGAACACCCCCAGUUGAUCUAGACGGGCACCCGCUUUGCCGAAGAAUCCUACAACUCCAGUUGCAGGAGUCUCAAACUCUUGGCCGCUGGGAACACCGUAAGGACCAUAUGUUUGCUUGUUCGUGACGAAGGUUAGCGAUGUCACUGCAUCGGAUGUACGUGAAGGAAUUGGUCCAUAUGUACCCUUCACUUGCAACAGAAACUCCUCUGGGAAUUCCAGACAAAGCUGCCCACACAGAGCGAAACAAAGUGUAAGCAUUCACAUGGGAGGUUGAACGCCAAUCAAUUGUAAUGGAGCAGCAGCUCCACAGAAUGUUAGAUUGUCGUUCGUGUCAGAUCAAAAUCAGGUUUAGGAGUAUAUACCUUGCUGGAUUCUUCACCUAAAUUUUUGCCUAUCCCAAUUUGGGAUUUCCAGGAGUCUCCGCCUGCGCCACCAUGAGGAGCGCCCUCGAAUCUAGUGCCGCACUGUUCAUAUGUCACUUGCAACGUGGUUACGGCAACUUUGCUGAAGUUCACUAAAAUCUCCACGACGUCACCUCUUCCAUCAUAGAAAUCUUGUCCGCCGGAGCCUCCCCAUGGCCCGUUGACAACCGUCGAGAUUUCAAGGCGUGCAGGCUACAUUUCAUACAAACACAUUCAAGUGCUUCAGUUAUGCAACCAAUAGAGCGCAUAGCCUUCAUCAACAAACAACCUUGAAACUCGCAGAAUUGAAGAGUAUCAACACAAUCCAAUACCUUUUUGUCGAGAUGAGAAUUCCAAGGGUUUUCAACGUAAGUGAGUACUCCCAGUUGGUCGACCACUCGACCACUUCUGCCACAGAACCCCAAAACACCAUGAGGCAGAGACUGAAAGUGCUGUCCUCGGGAGUUUCCGAAAGGUCCGUAUGUUUCAUUGUUGGUGAUCAAUGAGAUUGAGGUCAGAUAGCCGCGAGGGUCGUAAGUGCCCUUCACUUGCAUUAAACGCUCGGUUGGGAAGUUCAGCGAAACCUGCACAACAAUAGCCAGCAAGUAUAUCAACAAAAUGAUUGUCGCAGGAUUCGAAGCUCUCUGUGCAUUCUCAUGGAACCUGAAGCUUAAGAUUCGGUAAAGCAGUUGAGUGAUAUUGUUCCUAUUUCAUUUACCUUGGCUUCUUCUCCUUCCUCUCCUUCACCGUGACAAGCACCUGAGAAUCGAUCACCACUGUGCUGGUACUCGGCUUGUAACAAAUGCACGCAUUCAUCGUCAUAUUUCACCGUGAUCUCCACAACAUCGCCUCUGCCAUCGCAGAAGUCAUAUCCUCCAUGCCCUCCCCAUUGUCCUUGCGUUAUCACGGUACUUUUCAAAGGCUUGUCCAGCUGAAUAUCGAUUAGAUGUUUCCACUAAUUAAAAUACCAUCUCUGAAAUGCUUCAUCUAGAAUGAACAUUCAAGGACGAUGAGAUCGAAAGAAUAUGGAAGAAGUUGGGGAUCCAAAUAAUCUGGGGGAAGAGAAUGGUAGAACUGAUACAAAACCUGGACAUUGUCGACACUGGCUUCGAUUGUGAGCACUCCAAGCUGGUCGAUAAUGGAACCAGAUCGACCAAAGAAUCCAACUAUAACCACAUCCGCUGGAGAUUCGAAACCCUCCCCUUCCGUGUUCCCGAAAGGCCCAUACGUCCCCUUGUUCGUGAUGAAGGAGAUCGAAUUUAUACACCUCCCGUAUGUGCCCACUACUUGCGUAAGGUACUCCUCCGGGUAAUCUAGCGUUAUCUACUAACCCAAAACAAGCCAUCGAUUCAGCAACUCCAAUCAUCCAACAUCGAAACAAACAGAGAUCACUGCGCACAAAUAUCCAUUAAAAGUCAGCUAGCGAAGUCCUCAAUUCGUUACCUUCUCGUCAUGACCGCCAUGCGAACCAUGAGUAGGACUGUGCCACCGGCUGCCGGUGCUCUCCGCGUACGCGACUUGCAGCUUGGUCACAUGGUCGUUGGUGUAGGUGACAUCAAUCUCGACAACAUCACCUCUGCCAUCAUAGAAAGGGUGCCCGCCUGACCCUCCCCAUGGUCCUUGAGCGGUAGCACUGUUUGCCGACAUGAACACACGCUCUUACUACCACUCAACAAUUGAAAGACCCACCUCAACUCAGAAAUAUCUCCGGCGUGCCACAAAAUUUCAAUAACUAGAUCGGUUUGAGUGACACAACAACGCAUUUCUAUGUGAAGCACAAGGUCGACUUAUAAAGCAAGCAAGAUUGAGCGUAGUACCUAGAUGAGUCAACCCCGACGCUCAGACUUCAUCCAGAUCGUGACAAUACUCAUCCCACGAGCUACCACGGCAAGGAUCUCGUAACACCCAACGCGCCACUUGUGCGCAAAACGAUCUGAGCUGGGGUGUGAAUGGGGAGAUUAAGAUCCAGCAACGGUCGCACGUGGAAACGAGUGACGACCCACUGUCACGCCGCGUUUGUGAAAGAUCUAGUUUAUUCAUCGACGCAAUGCCGCAUAGAUAUUUUUGGUAGUGCAAUCUGUCGUUGCGACCCGCCACGGGUGUCAUGUCUGCAGCCGUUUCCCGCUGCAAUUACUCCCCGUUGUGUUGCUUCCACCAUUCAGGAAACUGGAAAUGGAAUCGAAAGGGAUGGGGAAGCAAAGUUUCGAACACGCAAGGUGUGUGAAGGGUCACGUGUCUGUUGUCCACGCCGAAUUCGUAUUCAUUUAUAGAUCCGGUUCGCAGCUUCGUAAUUUUUUAAAACUUUUUUACGCAUAAUUUUUUUUUCUUCUGUUUCUAGUAUUUUUGGGUUUAUGAUACUGAUGGUGUGUAGCCUUUGCUAAUAGUGUAAGGAUUGUAUGUGAUUUAGUAGGAACGGUGCUGGUUCAGGGAAAAGCAUGUGGAUCCAUGGUAAACUGAAAAAUCCUGAGAUUGCAUUACGUGUGACCUAUUCUUGUGCAGAGAAUAAUUGUUUGAGCCCAUUCUCAUUGAAUAAUUUGGGACCAAUUUGCAUUUAUUGUUUUUGCCACAAUCCAAGUGAUAUGUUUAAGAGGUUUGAUGUAAUGCAUCGGAUAUGUGGAUUCCGGUAGCAUGUGUUAAUUUACAAAGGUUGUAGUCUUUUUUCUUUUUCUUUUUUGAUAUGGCCAAGGUAUACUCAGUGCAUUGAUUAGGAAGAUAAGUAAAUGGCAUGCAAAGACAUGAGAUCCAAAAAACUAGGCAAUAUAUAAAGCAUUAUCAAAGUUACUAGAUUAAGUGUUUUGGUAUGCUAGUUGCUAAAUUAUUGUGUACAAUUAUGCCUCCACAAGAAGGAAUUAAAUUCUACCCAAUUUUAUGUCUAGCUCCUAUUAUUUCCAUGACCAUCCAAGUUUUGUCCUAAUAGCAAAACAAAUCUUUGAUAUUCUAAACUUUCUUGUUAACAAUGUCUAGAGUAAUUUUCUACACCAUUCUAUUAUAUUCUAGGAGAUUGGAAUAAAUUUCUAUUUUAACUUUUCUUAAAAGGAAAGUCAUUGCAUUGCUUUUAAAUUCUCCAUAUGCAUGUAUUUCUUAAUAGAGACCAAAUUGUUUUAAACUUAUCAAAUUCAUGAUGGAUUAUUUCUACAAAUUUUUCUUACUUCUAUUAUAAGAUAGGCUAAGAAUUAGGUCUUCUAAAAUUGGUGAUAAAUUUGUGUAACAUCAAUGCAAUCUAGUCUUAUGCUUUUUUAUUUAGGAGGCAUUUCCAAAAUUUGUAAAAUAAGUUCCAAAUGUGAUAUAGAUGUAAAGUAUCUUUAUUAGCUCAUACUCUCUACAUAUUAAUAAUAAGGCCUUUGUUGUGUGUUAGCUUGAUAAGUAUGGCAUCUUUCUUAGCAUUGGAUUUUUACAAGACAUCUUUUCAUUUGAAGACAUAAGUUUUGUCAAAUUUGUCACUUCAUUUUAAUGUGGCUAAAUUCUAAGCUUUAUGAUUUUUUUGUAGGAGUUUUUUGCGAAGUUUGGACAUAUAAGUUUUGAUGUUACAUCUUUUUUUUUAUAAAUAUGCUUAUGGAUCAAAGACACAAUUUUCAAGUAUUUCAAAGAAUGACUAAGAUUUUUAUUAAAUUCACUUGCAACUUAUAUUUUAAUACCUAAUUUUGUUAUUUUUACAUAAAAUUCUGCUCUUAUUAUGUUUGAUGCAAAUGUGAGUACAAAGAUUGAUUCUUGUAUUAAUAAUAGUUUAGAAUUAAAAAUAAGAAGUCUUAUUUUUUUGCCAAAUGUGUAGUAUUUAAUUUUUAAAGAUUUAUGCAUAUUAAACCAAUUAUUAAAUCAAAUAAAAAGAUUAAGAGUAGCUAGUUGAUAAAAAAAAAAUCAAUAAUAGUGCUUCAAGAAUGUUAUAGAAACUAAGUCAUUUGAUUUUAGAGGUUUCAUUCUAUAACAAAGAAGUCUUUUCUAAUAUUUUGGAUAUUGGUUUAUUAAUUAUAGCCAAAGAUAAUCUUUCUUAUGAUUUAGAUCAAAUCUUAUAAUAACUUUUAAAUUAUAUAAAUAAUUCAUUGAAUAAUUUUAUUCAUCCUUGAUUCUUAUUAUGUUUUUUUUAUAAGGUUCAACUAUUCUAACUGAGAUAAUGUGUAUGUUAAUAAUAAAGAAUUCUUAGUUCUACUACAAAGAUUUAUUUUUUUUAAUUUAAAUAAUGAUUUUGAAUCUUUGAAUUGAAACUAGGCUAUUAAUUUGGACUAAGUUCUUUUGAUUUGCAAUCAAUGUAUUGAACUUUUAUUCCAUUCAUAGUUGAAUAAGAAAUCCUAAGUAAAAAUAGAAUUCUAUUGAUCAAUAUUUUUGAAAGAACUUAAUAAUAACUUAAAUCUUAAUAAAAUUUAGAGAUUUGAAUUUUCAAUGUAUAAUUUAUAAAUUAUCCAUUUUCUUAGAAGAUAUAUCAAGGCUUCUUUUGGAUAUCAAAGACAUAAAUUAUAAAUAAUAAAAACCUUGAUACACUCAUAUGUCACUUAAAAAGAGUAGAUAUUUAUUUUAAAUAGUAUAAUAUUAAAAGUAGAACGACUAUUGUCAAAGACAAGAAGAUCAGAGAUUCUUUAAACAAAACUAAGAAUAAAAAAGGUAUUUACAAGAGUAAAGAAGGCUUCACUCUUCUCUCUCUCUCGCUCUCUCUCUCUCUCUCUCUCUCUCUCUCUAUAUAUAUAUAUAUAUAUAUAAUAUCUAACUAGGAUCUUAGUUUUAUAAAACCUCUAAUAUGUGUCCAACUUGUGAAACAUGUAUCUAACUUCUAAGAAAAUUUUCCUACAUAUGCACCAUAUAGCCAAUAAUAAUUCAUGAAUUGAAACUACAAGUUAUUGUUUUUUAAUCUCUUUAGUAUUAUAAAUAUAGAAAAAAUCUCAAAUAAAGAUAAAAGAUAAAAUAUAAUCUUUAUUAGAUCUUGUUUCUUUUAUAAUCAAGAAUUGUAUAAUUCUUUAUCUUGAUUUUUGAUGGAUAUUAUUGAUGAAAAGCAUCAACCUUCUUUGUUGUAUUCACAAGAUUCUAGAUUGUUUUCCAUGUGCAUUCUUUAAUAUCAUAUCUACACUAAUAUAUAAGAUAUUUUAAUUUAUUUCAGCAAAUCUUUGAAUCUAAAACUUUUUUUUAUGUUGAACUCUUGAUUAUUGUCUAUUUUUGUAAGAAGAAGUGGCAUUUAUCUUUUUUUUGGUAUAUCCACUAUCUUAUAUGAUUUUAAAAAAGACACAUAGAAUAUUAGAUGGAUCUUCAUAGGCUUGGUAAUUGUAAUUGAUAAGCAAUUGGAUUGAUUUUUUUACAAAUAAAAAAUGAUUCAAGUUUAUAAUAAUCCAACUUAUCAUAUAAAAAUUAUUCUUAAUAUUACAACAAAAAAAUUAUACUUUAUUGCCAAUAUAGAAUUAAAUUUUUCCUUUAUAAGAAACAUAUAAAUUAUUAUUUUAUUAUUAUUGAGCUUCUUUUAAUUAUGUAUUCAUUGUUGCAUGUAGCUUUGAUAAAAAAAAAUUCAUCUUUUUCUUCAUAAUUAUUAACUUUUACAAUGUUAAAAGUAUCAAAUUAUAGAUGUUAAUUACAAUUAAUAUAAUUUUUUUUGAAUAAUAAAAUAUAUUAUGUUAUGAUAAGUCUGUUAAUAAAAAAAAAAUCCAAUCAUCUUUAUAGUAAUUCAUAGUACAUUUCAAAUAUUAUUCCAAAUCUUGAUUUACUAGUUUUAUUUGUUAAUUGUUUUAAAGAAAAAAAACUAAAGAUAGUUUUAUGUUGACCUUCAAUAACUUAAAAAAUAUUUUCUAAAUCCUUAAUAUAAAUUGAGUUUCUUUAUUAGAUAUAAUAUCUCUUAAUAAUUUGUGAUAGUAAUAAAUAUUGCCAAAAAAAAACUUAGAUAUUUCUUUAUUUGUAAUAGAUUUUGUACAUUAUAAAAAUUAUGCCAUCUUAGUGAAACCAUAUAUUAUCACAAAUAUAGAGUCAUAAAAACUUAAAAUUAGAAGAUUGAAGAUAAAAUCUAUAAAAACAAAUUACUAUGAUUGUUCUAUUAUAAAUAAUGGCUAAAGAAGUUCAUAAGAUUGAUGACAAGGAAUUUUCAAUUUUAAAUGAAUAUUACAUAAUUUUACAAAGUUCUCAAAUAAUUUUUAUAUAUGAGGCUAUCAAAAAUCUCUUGGUAUUAAUUUAAGUUCUUAUUGUAUCCAAAAUGUCCUAUAAUUAAAAAUUUUGGAUAUAAUAAGAACUUAAAUUAUAUUUUGGAUAAAAUUAAGCAAAAGUAGAUAAAUAGAGAUUAAUUUCAUAAUAUCUUCUAAAAAAGCUUCUUAGAAGCUUUAUAGAUGUAGUUUUGACUUUACAUGUAUUUGUAAUUAAUUGAUAGGUUAGAAACUUAGUCAACAACUUAAUCAUGUAUCACAUGUAUUAGUAGCUUCUUGAACAAGUUAACUAUGUGGCACACAUAUAGAUAACUUAUCUUGCAAGUCAAGACAUAUGUCUAGUAAAGUCAACACAUAUUGGAGAUCUUAUAAAAAAUCACAAUAUAGCUCUUAGUUAGAGAGUAUAUAUGGAGAUAAGAGCAAAGCCUUCUUUACUCUUGUCAAUACUUUUCUAGUCUUUAGUCUUUUUUCCAAAUUUUCUAAUCUUCUAGUUUUUGGCAAUAGCCAUUUUAGUUUAAUAAUAUAUUAUUUUUGAGUGAUUUUUUAGUCUUUUUUAGUAAGAUAAGAGUGUAUUAACCUUUUAGUUCUUUGAGGUUCAUAUCCUUAAUAGUUUAACAAGAAUAAUAAUUUAUUGUUCUUAUCUUAUUUAUAAGUGAGUGAAUUAUUUCACUUCUAUUAUUGUAUCUUGAAGGUUGUGGACUAUUUAUCUUUAAACAAAAAGUUGAGUUUUUUAAUACUAAUUUUUUUACUUAAUGAGAUUGAAUUAAUUUUCUUUGUAAAAAUUUUAAUUUGAUAUUAGAGGUUGUAAAUUAUCUUCUUUUAAUUAAAUUUUUUGAAUUUAUUUGAGUUGACAACAGAAAGAAAGAUUAUAGAUGCUAUUAUCAACAAAAAUAAAAAAAUAUUUUUAACUAUUAUAGAUAUUUAUGAACUUGUCAAUAUUCUAAGAAUAGAAAUCUUAUAUAUUUCUAAUAUGAAUCAUGGAGGUACUAUUCCUACACAUAUGGAAGAAGUCUAGAAUCUAUGCCAAAAAAUUAUAUAAUUAAAGGAAACUAAUAGAUCAGUUUUAUAAUUAAAUUCUAGAAGUCUUACUUCUACAAGCAUAAGGGAGGUAAGGAUUACUAUGCCUAAGAAGUUUGAUGGAACAAGAUCAAAAUUUCAAGGAUUUUUGUAAGAAAUUGAAUUCUAUUUAUGAUUAUAUCCUUUCUAAUAUUCCAAAGGAUUUAUUCAAGUUGAAUUCAUAAGUAAAUUUUUCUUGAAAAUUAACACGAUAGGUUUUAAUUUGUAUUUUUAUUUAUAAAAUAUAUUGUGUUUAUUUAUGCACUUUUUGUUUGCAGCUUUGAUGGAAAAAAAUUCAGAAUUAUUCUAUGAUUCAAAUUUAUUCUUUAAAAAUAUUUAUGGCGACAUUUUGAAUAAGUGAUGGAGAAAGGAUAGCAAAGAUCAAGCAUGUAUUGCUAUGGCAAGGAUUACAUUCAGCUACUACAUAUGCUAUUGAAUUCCAAAAUCUUGCUUGUGAUGUAGUUUGGAAUGAUAAAGCCCUUAUCAAUCAAUUUUGAUUUGGAUUUAAAAAUAAUAUCAAAAAUUUAUUAUUGACAAUGCCAAGAAUAGAUUCAUUAAAAUAAUUUAUUGCUUAAGCCAUUGUAUACAACAAUUGACUCUUUGAAAGGUGCUAGGAUCAAAGAUUUGAUUGAAGAAGUAGAAGUCAAGCUAUAGCAACACCUUCUUGGUUUUUGACAUAUUAUUUGGCUAAGAAAAAAUAAAUACAAAUUAACAUGAUAUGUUUCAAACCUCUUAUUUAUCAAAAAAAGAUUCAUCAUUAUCAAGAAGAUUUGUACCUAUAUUGUAGAAAAUCUACAAUCUAAAGCCUAAUAUAGAAUGAGUUUGCUAUACUCAAUAGGUACAUUGAUGAAAAUUUGAAUAAGAAAUUUAUAUGCCAUUCCAAAUCUAUCAUUGUUAUAACCUUUGUAACUUCCUUCAGACAAAACAUUUGUAACACCAUUAAGAGUCGUGCCUACCUCCAAUAAAAUCACCAAACAUUAAGAGUCUUUUUUCAAGUCCUAAUAUCAAAUAUAUUGUAUCUUAUCAUCUAUUCAAGGAAAAACAUGUCAUUUUUAAAGGGCUUCAAGCCUAUUAUUUCGUCUUAUAGGCUAUGAUAAAUAUAAUGUCAUAUCUAGUAAAUUAACAAAUGAUGGUUCUUCAGUUGAAUCCAUUGGUUGUUGAUUUUCGAUCUCAUUGACGCCAGAAUUAUACAAAAAUUACAAACAAGGAUAAAAACUAGAAUGUAAUAUAUAUAUAUAUAUAUAUAUAGCAAAGGUUUGUUAUCCUUUAUCUUAGUUUUGGUGGAUGUUGAUGAUGAAAAGCUUUGACCUUUUCUGUUAGAUUUGUAUGAUUUUUUACUAGCUCUUAUGUGCAUUUACUAAUAUCAUAUUCACACCAAUAGACAUGAUAUUCUAACUUAUUUUGGUACUGCCUUGAGUCUAAAACUUCUUCCACUUCAAACUCUUCAUUAUUGUCAACUUCUAUAUGAAAAGAUGGGACUUAACUUCUUCUUGAUAUGUUCACAUUCUUAUAUGGUUUAAGAAGAAAUACAUAGAAUAUUCAAUAGAUCUUCAUUGACUCUUGUAGAUGUAAUUGAUAAAUAAUUAAAUUGAUUUAUUUAUAGAUAAAAAAAGAUCCAAGCCUACAAUAGUCCAACUUAUCACAAAGAUGAGUAAUCUUGAUAUUACGACAAAGUAAUCAUACAUUAUCACUUAUAUUGAAUUAUCAUUAUUUUUUUUGAUAUGCAUCCAUAUUGAUCUUUUAUCAUUCUUGAGCUUCCUUUAAUUGCACCUUCAUUGUUGCAUGUAGCUCUGAUAAAUAAUUUGCCAAAUCUUUUGUUACAGCAUAUCAUCUUUUGAAAAGUCAAAAGUAUUAAGUUGUAGAUGAUAAUCAUAAUUAGUAAAAAAAGUUUUUUGUUGCAUAGAAAAAUGCAUCAUAUUAUUAUAAGAAAACUUUACAAAUGGUAAGAGGGUUGUUCAAUUGUCUUGUUAAUAAUUGAUGGUACACCUUAAGUAUUGCUUCAAAACUUGGUUUAUGUGCUUUGCCUAUUGUGAUGGUUUUUUCUCCCCUCACUUAAAUUCAAUUUGAUUCAAUUGUGACUUAGAUUAAAAUUCAAUAUUAAUCUAGAUGGACAUUUAAAUCAUAAAUAUAUAUAUAUAAAAAUGAUAAAAUAAUCAUAAUUAAUUCAAUGAAAUACAAAAAGGCAAAGUAUAUAAUUUUUUAUGAUUUCUUUAGUAUUAUAAUAAAAUAAGUUAAUUUUCUUCCAAAUUUUACUUAAUCAAGUUUAAACUCAAAAAAUUAUAUAUAAAGAUAAAAAUAAAAUAAAAUAAAAUAGAAUUAAUAACUAAAAGUUGAAUGAACAAUUUUAAAAUAAUUAGAGUAAAAAAAUUAAAAGAUAAAAAGUAAAAUUUAUAAAUUAAUAUUAAAAAUAAAAGGUGAAAAUAAAAAGAUAAGAUUAAUUUUUUUUCUUUUAUCUUUUAAAGAUAAAGAUGGAUGAAAAGAUAAAACUUUACUAUUAAUUAUUAAAAAUUAUUAAAUAAUAUUAAUUAAGAAUAAUAAAAUAAGUAAGAAUUAAUAUAAUAAAUUAGGUGCUAGAAAUGUGAUUAGUGAAUAAUUAGAGAAGAAAUAAUAACAUACCUUGAAAUGUAAAAUUGUAAACAUCCACCCUUGCUACUCAAAAAUUCACCAAAUAUUCCUUGAAACUCAUAUGCAAGUGAAAUUUGGUGUGAUCAAGGUCAAAUCUAGCAUGCUUCUACUUUCUUAAACCUUGUGGCAAUUCAAUCUAAAAUGCUUGAGAUAUGGUUUUUUCAAGUAGAGCCACUUGGGCUGCCUUGGCAGCAGAUUCUUUUUACUUAAAAACUCAUUGAAAGUUGGUUAAUGAUUCAAAGUUAAAAACUUUAAUUUUUUCUAGUACAAAACUUAAGAAGAUUUUUUUGCAAUAAUAUUGGAUAAAAAAAAAUCAAUAGGAAUGAAGCUACAUUUUUCCAAAGUUAAUUGUUUUAAACUACGAAGAUAGCAGUUCUAUCUUCAUUCUAAAAAUCAUAAUUUUUUUUUAUAACUUAAAAGUUAAAGAUUUAAAUUUUAAAUAAACUAAACUUUAAAUUAAAUUCAUAAUAGUAAUUCACAUUAAAUUUGAGUAAGAGGUCAUCAAGUUACAAAUUUUUGAAGUUGAUGCUCUUAUAUUGCCAAAGGCAAUAGACCCCAUGCCACUUGGAAAUUUGCCAAAAAUUUGUCUAAGCUUCAAUUACUUGUAGCUUAUGUCAUUGAAAAGUUGAUAACUAGAAAAACAUGAACACCAAAUAUUGCUCAAAAGCAUAAAAAAUUGAAUGACUGAGAGGAAAAAAAUACCAACAUAGUAACAAGGUAGGAGACGAUUUCCUUCAAUUAAAAGCCUAGAAACAAUUUGGCAGGGCUUUGCCUUAUAAAAGGAAGAAGAGAGAGAGGGAACUUAGCCAUCCAAGACCUCUUAACCAAGUAAGAGGAGGUCCAAAGGUGGCGGCCACAUCUCCACUAUCUAAAUCAAAAAACUCCUAAUCAAGAUUAAGGGUCUACAAUCACUCUAUGUCACGGCCAUAAUCAUGUAAGCUAAUAAUUACAUAUAGAAAUAGGUAGAAGUAAGUAAAAGUAGAUAAAAGUAAGUUAAUUGUAUAAUAUUUAAUAUAGAAGCUUCCUAGAAACUUCCUAGACGCUGCUUUGACUUCAUAGGUGUCUUUAAUUGACUUUUUGGAUUAGAAACGUGGUCAACAAGUUGGCCAUGUGCCACACAUGUUGUUAGCUUGAAGAUCAAGCUAACUAUGUGGCCCACACGUAGAAAAACUUGCCUUGUAAGUCAAGGCAUGUGUCCUACAAAGUCAACACAUAUUGGAGGUCCUAUAGAACGUCGCCACGUAGCCCCUAGUUAGAUAGUAUAUAUAGAGACAAGAGUGAAGGCUUCUUCACUCUUGUCAACUCCUUUCUUGCUUCUAGUCUAGGUUCAAGAGUCUUUAGUUUCUUGUCUUGUGGCAAUAGCCAUUCCAGUUUCCUUUUAAUAUACCUACUUGUUUAUAUUUUGACUUAUUAUAUCGAGAUAGCCUUUUGGUGUAUAUUUUUCCUCAUCGAGUCUUUGUCCUUGACACUCUAAGGUUAAAUCCAAUUUUUAAGGCUGGAAAUGCCUGUAACUCAAAAACUAAUAUCUUUUUAGUAAAACUAAUACCACCAAUAUUUCUUAAAUAUAUUUUUAUUCCAAGGUGACUAUUCUUAAGUCUAAAUCUAAGUUCUAAAUAAAAAAAAACUAAUUAAUUUGCUAAUUUAGUUGUAAGUUCAUACUAUAAUUCUAAUUUUACUCAGUCUACUUAGUGAUCAGUAAGGGUUCUUGCCAUCAAGCCAUCAUGAUCACCAUUCUUCAAUUUAAGCUCUCUUAAACAUGAACUCUUAGAAAAUCUAAGAUCCAAUUGUAAUUUAACCUUGAAUUAAUACACAUAUGAUCUUUUUCUUUUUUUCUAAUUUUUAACUCCAAAUAGUGAUUAAGAUCACUGAGAGAGUAAUUCCACCACCAAAAUUAGUUCAACUCUAUCUUCUAGAAAUCAUUAUUAUUUUAACAAUUAGACUUUAUAUUUUUAAUCCAUUUAAAUUAUGGCAUAAAACUUAACCUUAAAAAAUCUUAAAACUUAAAUAUGAAGAUAGAGCAAUUAGACUUAAGGGAUUUUUUUAACCAUAGUCAAAUUAGGAAUUAGCCUAUGAUUUGAAAACUAAAAUUGUAGAUAAAUUCAAGAUAUAAUUUCUAAGAUUUAAAAGAAAAAUUCUACUAAAAUUCUAAUUUUAGUACUAAAAGAGGAUUUAAACCAGAUCAAGAAAAAGAAAUCAUAGAUCUUCUAAAUUUGCUAUUUUAAAAUUUGUAACAAUCACUUAAUCUAGUAAUUAAAAGAAUCUACAUAAUUAAUAAUCUUAAACUAUAAUUUAAGUCAUUAUUAACUAAAAGAUUAAUUAAGAACCAUAAAUUAAUCAUAUUAGCAUUAAAAUUAGUAAAAAUAUGUUAAAAAUUAUAAAAGUAAUUAUAACUAAUCUUUAGAGCUAUUAAUUGUACUCAUAUCUAUCCAUCACUUUGAGGAUGAAAGACUGAAAAAAGCUUUAUGUAUACCUUUAGAACCUUAAAAAAGAUUUUUUAAAAUCUUGAUACUAAUUGAUUCUCCUUAUCUAAAAAAUAUUGUAACAUGGUAUAGAUAAGAUAAUUAUUUAGAUAAUUAGAACCAUAGAAGUCUCUAGAAUUGGAGUUAGGUUAUUGGAUUAGGUAGGACCUACUGUAGAACAUUCUAGAAAGGAUUUAGGUGGAUUAUAUAGAUAGAACCCUCUAUAGAAUCUUCCAAAAGAAAACUUAAGGCUGUUAUCUAGGUUGGACCUAUCAUGGAAUCUUUUGAAAAAGGAGUUUAAGGUAGUUAUCUAGGUAGAGUCUACCAACUAAGAAUAUUCUAGAAAGUUUAGGGUAAUAGGACAAGGUAUAAAUAAGAUUGGCUAGGUCCUUUUGGGGCAUCUGAUUAGGUAUGGCUUCAAACUCUUUUUCUUACUAAAGUUUGUUUCUAUAUCUUUUUAUUCAAAUCUAUUCUAUUUUGUUUUUUUUUGCUCAGUUUUAUCUUUCAUGUCCUAUUUUGUUUAAUUUUUUAAAAUUUUGUUCUAAUAAAUUUUGUCUUAUUUUGUGAGAAGGCCUUAUGUUGUUGUGGAUUAGAAAGAUCUUAGAUUUUUGAAAUAGUAUAGUUUUGUUUCAUUAAUAUCAGAGCAAGUGUCAGACUGUUUACUUUUGAUAGCAUGUUAAUAGUCAUCAUUUAGUUCAAGAUUAGUUGUUGUAGUCACACAGGGUAUUAUGUUGACGCUAUCACAAGCUACUCUUAAAAAAUCAAUCGGGAUGUGAAAAUGUAUUAUAAUAGUAGAGUCUAACAAAGAAAUUAUAAUAUAAGAGAUAUGGCAUGGCAAUUCCAAAUGGAGGCUCAAAUACAACACCUCUUAGGCCAGAUAGCUACUUUACAAGGAUAAAUAGAAGCCUUGAAGAUAAGAAAGUUGACAUCUACUAUGUUGAAAUUGAAUAAGCCUAAUACAUACUUUGGAACUCCAAGACAAGAAGUUGUAUAUCAAUGGCUCUUCAAUAUGUGACAAUACUUCUAACUAUCUAAGCCAAAUACCACCAAAGAAAUUAUAUAUAUAGCUAGCUAUUUGAAAGAUGUGGCAGCCAUUUGUUGACAACAUCAAAUUCAAAGUUAUAGAGCUGAAGGUGGAUCUUAUGACUAGGGAGAAUUUGAGACCAAGUAUAAGAAUCAAUUUUGGCUCAUCAAUGUGAAAAAGAUAGCAUGCGAUUACUUGACAAAUUUUACAUAAGCUAUAUCAGUGUAAGAUUAUGUCUUAUAAUUCAAGUACUUAUGUCUUCAAAUUGGUAAUGUUUUGGAGGCAAAGAUGAUGGAUUGAUUCUUUCAAGGUUUAAAACUAGAGUCCAACAAGAGGUGGAACUAAAGGAUCCACAAACAUUGGAAGAAGCAAUUCGGAUUGUAGAGAAGGUUGAUGCUAUAGAUUUUAGAAAUAAUAGAGUACAACUUAUAGCACAAAGUACUAUACUACCUUCUAAUAUUACGGCACAAUAAUCAAUGCCAAUAGACAUUGAUGCCUUACAAGGAUCACUGAGACCACAAAGACGACAAAUAUUGGUGCAAAAAGAAUUAUGUUUCUAUUGUCAAGAGUUAGGCCAUUAAAUUAGAGGUUUUUCAAAAUGUCAAAGUACAAGUAUCAAGAAGACAAGGUAAGUUUAGAGUCUUGAAACUCAUCAAGUUGAUAAUGAAUCAGAGCAGGGAAAUGGGGCUCUCUAAUAAAGGCACCAGUGGCCAAUACUAGGGAUACCUAUUGUCUCACAAAGACAAAUGGCAUAGCCUUAGACAACUAUAAGAAGAGUCGACUGGUACUUCUAAUAGAACUACUAAGAAGAAAAUAUGUCAAGUGCUUGUAGAUUGUGGCUCUAGAGAAAAUUGCAUCUCAAUUAAAAUUGUUGAUCGGUUUGGAAUUAAAACCAAAGAAAUCAAAGAAAAAAAUAUAUACUUUAUAAAUAAUUGAGAGAAUGUAUUGAGUGAGAUGUGUGAAGAAAAAAUCUUGAGAUUGAUGAACAUAUACAUCUUAAGAAAAAAAUUCAAGGUAACAAAACUAAAGUAUGAUGUUAUGCUUGGUAUGCCAUGGCUGGAGAUAGAAAAUAAGCAAGUUGAUUAAGUAACAAGGACAAUCUCUUUUAAAGAUGGAAGACACAAGGUGGCUCUUUGCACCUCCAAAUUUGGUGAAGAAAGAAGAUAAACUACAACCAAAGACUUACUUGUAGGGACAUCCUUUAUAAAGAAACAACUAUACUAUGAGCAACCAAUAUAUAUAGUGGUUCCAAACCUUACGUCAAUGGUAGAAAAGACAACCAAAGAGAUAGAAUAGGCGGAACUAUUUAUAUGAAAAUAUCUUGAUGUCUUUCUAACCAACCUACUUAGUAGCAUAUCUCUUGAUCAAGGUGGCUCCUUUCAAAUAUAACUAUUAUUUAGAAAAAAACCAAUAAGUUGACUAAUUUAUCACCUAGUACCAAAAGAAUUUAAAUAGCUAUAGAAGACAUUAGACAAAUUAUUGGAGAAAGGCCUCAUUUGAGAAAGCACAUCACUAUAGGGAGCACAUGUAUUCUUUGUAUCCAAAAAAGAUGGUAGACUUUACCUUUGCAUUGAUUAUCGAGGUCUCAAUAAGUAGACUGUUAAAAAUAUCCACUUCCACUUUAUAUUCACUUCGACUUCGACUUCCACUUCAUAUCCACUUCCACGCAUGGAUGAGCUUCUUAAUCAAUUUCAAGGUGCGACCUUCUUUAGUAAUUUGGAUCUUUGAAGUGGAUAAUGGCAAAUACCUAUUGCAAGAAAAGAUAUAAAAAAGACGAUAUUUUGUACCCACUAUGGAUAUUUUGAAUGGUUGGUUUUAUCCUUUGGCCUCACCAAUGCUUCAACCUCUUUCAUGAGUCACAUGAACAAAUUAUUUUGAGAUCUUUUAGACAAAUAUGUAAUCAUUUUUAUUGAUGAUAUCCUCGUAUAUUAUAAAAUCUCUAAAGAGAAUGAGCAACACCUACAAGAGGUAUUGCGUUGACUACAAGAUAGUCAUUUUUAUUGUAAACAAUUAAAAUGUGAACUUUGGAAGACACAAGUCACUUUUAUGGAACGUAUGGUGUCUUCCAAAGGAGUGCAUAUAGAGCAAGAUAAGAUAAAUAUAGUGGAGGAUUAGUCAACCUCUAAGUUUACUCAUUUUUAGGCCUUACUAGAUACUAUUGCUAUUUUAUUUAGUGAUUUACUCAUAUUAUUGCUUCAUUGACAAACUUGUUGGAGAAAGAUUCUUCAAUUUAAUAGAAAUUAGAGCAAUAAAAUGCCUUUGAUAAGUUGAAAGAGACACUCAUUACUACUCCAAUAUUGCAACCAUAUGUUCCUAAUCUUCCUUCUACUCUUGACAUUGAUACUUCUGACGUUGCUAUUAGAACAAUCCUUCAAAAAGACUUUGAUAGGAGCCUUCAAUUUAUACCGUAUAUCUCAUGCAAGCUCAGAAGGGUAGAGUGCAAUUACUCUACACGUGAUUGAGAGCAAAUAACGAUUGUAUAUACUACAAAGGUGUAUCAACACUAUCUAUUAAAGAAGCUAGUAGUUGUUCAGACUCAUCAUCGAUCCUUAUUAUAUGAUUUAUAUCUAAAAAAUAUGAAAUCACGAUAUCAUCGUUGAAAAGAACAGUUGCAACUUUUUGAUAUGCAGCUUAAGUACAAGCAAGGGUGAAAAUAUACUAUAUGAGAUAGCUUAUUGUGGAGAUUAGACUUAAAAGACAAAUCAAGAGACAAGACAAAAAUUACUACUAUUAAUAGUACUAUUUUAGAUCUAACCAAAGAAGUAGAAUAGAACAAAGUUACACAUUGGGAUGCUUACUUUAAGAUGGUUAGUAAUUGGUUGUAAGUGGAUAAUAUAUAAUAUCAAGAUUACACUCUUAGUGGUGGCUUUUUCUAUUUCAAGAAGUAAAUUUAAAUACUUGACAAUGCUAAAUUAUGGAUAAGCAUACUUCAUGAGGAACAUAACAUUCCAAUAUUUGGACAUUUGGGAUGAGAAAAGAUCUUAGAACGGAUCUCAAAGAUAUAGUUUUUAGCAAGUCUAGAUUAUAAUGUUUGAGCCUUUGUAUACUCUUGCAAAUAAUGUCAAUGUAACAAAGCAUGCAAUAUAGCAUCUCGUGGACUAUUGCAACCAAUUCCACUACCUAGGGCAUGUUAGGAGCAAGUGACUAUGGAUCUCAUUACGUAUUUGCUAUAGACACCUUAUAAUCAUACCAUAGUUGCUAUCUUUGCGGAUCGACUCUUAAAGCAACUUCACUUAGCCGCAAUAUACUCGGAUAUUGAUGCUUCAAUGUUUGCAGGAGUCUUUUUUGAUACAUUCUUUUGUCACCAUGGAUUACAUCAUGUCAUCAUUUUAGAUUGGAUACCAUACUUUAGGAGAAGUUUUUGGGAAGUCUUGUUCAAGCUAUUAGGUACAUGACUUAUCAUAUCUAUAUUCUUCCAUGCUCAAACAAAUGAGCAAACAGAAUAUGCAAAUAAGAUCUUGGAGGAUAUAUUAUAGACAUUUGUGGCGAUUCAUCAUAAUGAUUGAGAUGAAUACUUGACAUCCUUCAAGUUUGCUUAUUAUGAUAGUAUUUAAGUAAGUACCAAUUAUUCACCAUUUUUCUUUAAUAUUGGUGUCGAAAUAGAGAGAAUUUGCCUCAAGAAAGCAUUGGACUCUUGGCUAUCAUUAAUUGCUCAAUUAAGUCUUGAGAUAAGAAAGACCAAGUUUAUAUAUAAAUUUUUUUUUUUUGAGCAAUUACACCAAAUACGUAAGGCUCUAGUAACUAACAACACCCAAAAUAUGAUAAAAUCCUUUAUAACCUUAUAUUUUCUUAUAUAAUUUUUUUUUCAAAUUUCAACACCUCCUAUCUCUUAAUCUGAUUGUCCAAAAAAACUCAAAUUUUACUUAAAGUACUAAUAUAUUCUUGUUAAUUCCUGCAAUAAAUUUCAAUUGCAAAUUCAUUGCAAAUCUUGAGAUAUCUUGAAAAUCCUAACAUUCGCUUUAAAUCCUUGAUUUUAUACAUCCACAUGUAACUUUCUUCAUAUCUCACAAAAUAUAAGCUCAAAUACCACGAAAUUUAUAUAUAUAGCUUUUCAACACAAAUUAUUACAUUUUCCAAAAAGUUUGAGUCAAAAAAUCGUCAAAAAAUUGAAGUUAUGGCUCCAGCCAUCACUAUAAAUGAAACUAUUCACUUAUUGCCUUUGAUUUGGAGGUGUCAUCUUCAACUCCCCAUAACUCCUUCAUAUGAAUUUUAAAAGUAAAAAUACUUUUGUAAAAGAUUCUUUUGUAACCUUGGUAGCUUAGACCUUUUUGUAUUUUUAUAGUGAUAUCUGAUGUCGCAUACCACCUUGAGCUUAUGCCUUAUAUUUGGAUUCAUCCACUCUUCCAUGUUUUGCAAUUGAAGGAAUUUCAUACUGAGACAAAGUGCUUUUUGGAUUGACAUCAACCACCACCACUACCAGUUGUAGUUGAUGACCAAUAAGAAUAUGAAGUGGAUAACAUUUUGGAGCAUUGCUACCUUUGUUGUGGUAGUGGAAGUCCACAACUUCAGUAUAAAGUUCUUUUGAAAGGUUAUUUCAUUUACGAUGCAAUAUAAGAAUCUACACAAAACCUCACCUAUUGUCAAAAGAUAAUUUGGAGAUACCAUUGGAAGCAAAACGAAAAUGUUCUACAUUAGUAGAGGAGAUUUAAUUAUAAUAGGAUAUAAAUAACAUAAUUAUAUAGAUAAUUAGAACCAUAGAAGUCUCUAGAAUUGAUAUUAGGUUAGUGGACCAAGUAGGACCUAUUGUAGAAUAUUUUAGAAAGGAUUUAGGAUAAUUAUUCAGAUGAAGACCACAUGUGAGCUCUCAAUUAUACUCUAAAAUCUAAAUUUUUGUUGUUUUCUUAUUUUAUGAUAAUUAGGCAUGUUAAAUUAGAAUUUAUAUAAGUAGAAUUUAGUUUUAUAGAAUUUUUAGGAUUACAACCUUUGAUAGUAUAAAUUAUAGUAUAAUUCUUUGAAUUUGAUUAGUUAGGACUAAAGUAAUAAGAAUUAAAAAAUUAGAAUAUCAACUUAGUUACUUUAAUAAUUUAGAGGUUGUUAGUCAUUACUAUGAGAGUUGACUAAAAGCCUAUGAAUGCACCGACAAUCAUUCACAUGAUUUAGGAGUUGGAAUUAUAAUUCUCCAAAAUAUUUAGGAAAGUUAGAAAUAAUAAUUUUGAAUUUUCCUCCAAAUUCAACAAAUUCAAGCAGCAUGGUGGUUUUUUUAAUUCAUGGAAGUCUUUUUAAUGCAAUGGUGGCACCGGAUUUAUUCUUUAGAGUGAAGAAAACAAGAUCAGUAUCCUCUCCUUCAAAAUACAAGUGAAGCAAUGAAAUUCUCAUUUUGAAGAAUUUUACAAAAAAUUUCUAAGAUCCUUGUAAAUAAAAACUUCCAUGAAAAUUAUAAUUGAGCAUGGAUUGAGGUAUGUGAGUAGUCGAAUUUUGCUUAAAAAGGUGUUUAGAACACAAUGGUAAAGUUGAAUUUACCAAAAAAUACUUUCUUGACCACUUACAAGAGCCAUCAGCUUUAAUUAUGAAAUUGACUUUUGAAUGAAUGAAGGCCAUAGAUCUAGAUUAGGGAUCUUAAAAAUCAAGGAUGGAGAUGUAGCCACCUUUCUACAAGCUUCCACUCAAUUUUAUAAGAGAGGCUUGAUUUUCUAAGCCCUCUCUCUCUCUCUCUCUCUCUCUUCUUUUGGGUGAAGGAUGAAGCUAUGUCAAAAUUUGGCCAAAAUCCUAAUCUUAAUUUUGUUUAGACUUAAAAUCUCAUUGUGAACCUUAUGAUUGUGUGUGUAUGGAUUUUGAAUUGUAAAGGAUGGUCGUUAAGAUAUGCUUUAAAAUAUGCUUCAUUGAGAUAGAUAGCUCCUCGGCCUUUCAAAUACCCCAAGGGUUUCAAGGGCCUCGGAUUUUCCUCAAUCAAUCACUCAGUUUCUUUUGUUUCGAUGUGAAAUUCUGAAUAAUUGUAGGUUUUGUUGUUAAAUUUUUGAAAAGACAAGACUAGCUUGAUUUAGAGUGAGGAGGAAUUUUUGGUGAAUUUUUGAGUGUGAGGGAAUUGACUGCCUUUGCAGUUUGGAUCUAUCGGGUUCAAAAAGGCAUUUCUCAGUGCCUAAUAAUUGGAUUUACUUGAAGUUUUUGGGAGCCUCAAGCUUUAUAAGUUAAGCUUUGAAAGGCAAAAGAUUUGUUAGAUUUGAAGAGAAUCUGAGGUUUUGGUGAAUUUCUAAGUGAAGAGGGUUGGUCGCCAUGGCAAUUUAGAUCACUCAACUUCAAGGGAAGAAUCCUCACGAUUGGAUCAUUAGAUUGCAACAAGAAUUAUUGGAUCAGGAGCACCUUUAAGUAAGCCUUGCAAUAAGUUAAGAUAUAUUCAAAUCAAAGCUGAUUACAAAUUUUGGCAAAUUUUGGAGUAGAAGGGGGUCAUUGCCUUCAAUCCUUGUAUGUUGUCAAGGUACCUUCGCUUUUACCUCUCUUACUUUAUUUUUACUAUCAUCUUCACUGUGACUUGUAAUCUUCACAUUUCACCUUUUGGCUAAUAAAUUUUAACCUUUAAUAUUCUUACUUUAAUUUUUAACUUAAAAUUUUAAUUUUAAUUUUUAAAUUUAACUUUCAAUUUUAAUUCUUAAAUUUAAUUUUUAAUUUUAACUUUUUAACUUUUUAACUUUUAAUUUAAUUUUUAAAUUUUAAUUUUUAACUUAACUUUUAACUUAAUUUUUAAUUCAAACUUAAUUUUUUAUUCUUACGGUCAAUUAAUAGUAAUAACUUAGUUAAUUAUUUUUACUAUGUUUGUAUAGUAAAUUUUAUUUAAUAUUUUUAUUUAAUAUUGAUAAUCAUUACUUAGAAGGCAUUAAUUUGAAUUAAACUACAAAGACCUACAUUUAAAUUAACUCAACAAUUUCACAAUUGGUAGUCCUUCCAUUCUACUGCUUGAACCUGUUGUAUGGCGUCAAUUUAAUGAGUGGUGAAUUUGGAGCUCACACUACCAUAGAAUCUUCUAAAAGUGAGGUUAAGGUGGUUAUCUAAGUAGGACCGACCAUUGAACCUUCUAAAAAAAGAGUUUAAGGUAGUUAUUUAUAUAGAGUCCACCACCUAAGAACAUUCUAGAAAAUCUAGGAUAGUAGGAUAAGUUAUAAAUAGGAAUAGCCAAGGCCUUUUGCAGCAUCUCGUCAAGUAUGGCUUGAGACCUUUUAUCUUAGUAAAAUUUGGUUCUAUAUCUUUCUAUUCAAAUUUAUUUUGUUUUGUUUUGUUCUAUUCUAUUCUAUUUCUGUUUGCUCAGUUUUAACUUUCAUGUUUUAUUUUGUUUAGUUCUGUUCAAUUUUAUUUUCAUCUUUUUUUUUCUAUUUUGUGAAGAGGCAUUCUAUUAUAUUAUGUUGUUGUAGAUUAGAAGGAUCUUAGAUUUUUGAAAUAGUUUAGUCUUGUUUCAAAUAUUGUCAAGGAAAAGUUUAGUAGUUUUUUCACCUAUGAUAGAUUUUGUGCAUAGAUAAAAUGUGCCAUUUUGGUAAAACGAUCUACUAUCACAAAUAUAAAAUCAAAUGAACUUGAGAUUAAAAGAUUCAUAAUAAAAUCUAUAGAAAUAAAAGAUUAAGAUUGUUCUAAAAUAGGUAAUAGGUUAAGAAGUCUAUAAGGUCAAUGACACAGAGUUUUUGACUUUGAACUAAGGUCAUAUGAUUGAAUAAAGUCUUUCGUAGCUUUUUACAUUUGUGACCACCAAAUUUUUUUAGAUAUUAGCUCCAAAGUCUUAUUAUAUCCAAAAUAUCCUAUUAUUAGAAAGUCAUGAUAUGCUUAAAAAAUACAUAAAUAUACUUCUUUUUUUGAAAUAUAUAGGCAUCUUUCAAAAUAAAGUAGGUUAUUUUUGAACUUAAACUUAAAUUUGGAAGUAUCACAAGACUUAGAAGAAGUAUUUUUGAUAUCAUGAACAAGAAGAUUAGAGGUCAUAUUUAAUUGAAUCUAUUUGAAAAAAAAAUUGAAUCAAUAGUCUUUGUUGAUUUCACUGCUUAAAGAAGAAAAAAUUUUGGUUUCAAUAAAAUUAUUCUUUACUCAUCAAAAGCUGUAUUUUUUUCUUUUGGUGUAAGAUAAGAACGUUUAAAAAGAGAUAUUGAACAAACCUUGUUGUUUUCUUGGCCAAUAAGUGAUAUUGAACUUAAAUCGUGACAAAGACCUACUCUAAUGAGCUUGACAAUAAUUCAAAAUAUGUAUUAACAUGAAAUACUUGAGAUUCUUAAGAUCCAUAUAUAUGGUGAUUGGACUAGAAGUGCCUUCUAAAUAAUGAUACUAUUCUUAAAAAGAAUCUAUAAUUGAAAGAAGUUAUUUAUCAUGGAUUUCAUAGUUAAUCUUGCUUACUGAGAAUUUUUUAGAAUGGAAAGCUACUAAAUGGAGCUUGUCAUCUUCUUCUAUUUAUGACAAAACAAUACCUAUAGCAAAAUUUGAUGCAUCUAUUUCUAUAAAAAAUGAUUUGAAAAAAUUGAUGCAAUAUUGAUACAAAAAGAAAUGCCAACUUUAAGGCUUCAAAAGAUGCUUGAGCUUUUUUAUUCCAAUUAAGUUUUUCUUUGCAUAUAAGACAUAUUAGAGGAGCAUCAACUUAAAAAAAAUUCUUAAUGAAGAUCUAAUAGUAAUUGGCAAAGCUCAAAAGCUUUGUAUAAUUUUUAUUGUUUUUAAAAUCUUUCAAUCUAUAAUAGUUUUAACCUUUUUUGGAUCCAUCAUAAGUCCUUUAUUGGAAAUGAUAUAUCAUAGGAUGUCAACUUGAGUAGUAUAGAAUACACACUUUUCCAACUUGGUGUACAAUCUUCCAUUUCUAAAUUUUUGUAACACAUGACAAAUAUAAACUUCAUGUUCUUUUUUAUUCUUAGAAUAGAUUAAAAUAUUAUCUAAGUAAUAAAUAAUAAAAUCAUCUAGAAACUCACAAAAAACAUCAUUUAUAAGAUGUUGAAAAGUAGUUGGUACAUUUGUAAGUCCAAAAGACAUGACAUCAUAUUCAAAAUGUCCAUACCUUGUUUAAAAUGCAGUCACUAUUCAUCUCUUUUUUUAAUGCAUAUCAAGUUGUAUGCUCCUUAUAGAUCUAUUUUUAUAUAGAUCUUAGCUUAAUUUAGUUGAUCAAAAAGUCUAAAUAUCAAGAAUAAAGGAUACCUAUUUUUGAUGGUAAACUUAUUGAAUCCUCGAUAAUCUAUACAUAUUUGCAGUGGUCCAUCUUUUUUCUUCACAAAUAAGAUAAGAGCUCUUGUAGGAGAUUUUGAAUGGUAUAUGAAAUUCUUACUGAAUUUCUUAUCAAUGUACUUCUUGAGUUUAGCCAACUCAUUUUGUGAUAAAUUAUAGAUUGGAUCAAAUGGUGGCUGAUUUCUCUCUUUAAGGUCAAUUGAGCAAUCAUAUGACCAAUGCUCUAAGAAAAUAAUUACAUUCUUCAUCUCAAAAAUAUCCUGAAAAUCUUGAUAUUAACUUAGAAUGCCUCUUGAAGUCUUUCUAUCAUUAAAAAUAGGUGUGGCAUAAAUAACAAAAAACAAUCCUUCUUCUGUACCAUAUAAGAAAGUUUUUGUAUCCACAAGUAUGGAUUUGGCUAUAUUAGACUCAUAGCUUUUGAGAAAACUCUUAAUAAUGCUUUGAAAAAAUUUAAGUUUAUAAAAAAAUCAAAUCUAUUAGAGGAUUAUAUUUUUCAAUCCAUGAUAAACUUAAAAUAGCUAGUUUAGAGGGAGACCUAAUUAUAUUAAAAAUUAUGCAAUUAUUAUGAUCAUUUAUUGCUACAUCUAUAGGAAGUAUUUCAUGAGUAAUAUCUCCAAAUAAUAAUGGACAGCCAUCUAUGACUUCUAUAUGUACAAGUUUAGUUUUUUUGUACAAAUAAUAUUCUAUGGCUUUUAAUAAACUCUUCAUCUAAGAAACAAGCUGAGGCUUUUGAAUCUAUGAAGAUAGACGCUUUGUGAUUAUUAGGUCUUAAAUAUACAUCUAUUAUAAAAUAAAGAGAAAGUUUUGAAGAGAGGAUAGGACCUUCAUUUAUAUAAGGAUUUAGCCACACGGUCCCUAUUAUAGCUGGAUAAAUUUGUUUUUCAACAUUUUUUCAUCUUUGACAAUUAUACUCCUCAUUUUGUAGUUAUAUUGUUCCUUUAGAUAAUGUUGAGCAGAGUGCUUAGUUUUUCUACAAUAUAAACAUAGUAUUUUUUGAUAAUGAUGAAUCUUUUCUUAUUUAGUAAGAAGUCUAAAAUAUAUUGUAUCAAUUUGCAUAUCUUUUACUUUCAAUUAUUUAGAUUGAAAGGUUGUCAGUAAUGUCAUUAAAUUGUAAUAAUGUAGAUAUUUUUUUGGACAAUUCUUAGAUUAAAAUUCAAAAAAAUGAUUUUCACACUUCACAAUAAAAUAAAUUGCUUAACUCAAUAUGUAAGGAUUAAGUUAAGUAUCAUUUUUUUUACCUCAUACUAUAAUUGAUAGAAAAAUAAGAUGAUAAAGGUAUUAUCAUUCUACGUGACAUCAAUCACUAAUUAUCAAAAUUGUCAAACAUAUGAUGUCAUUGAUAGAUUUUCUUAUUACAAGAUACAAAUCUUAUUAGUUGUAACACAAAUUGCAUUAUGUUCUCUAUAUGUAGAUCAAAAUUCUAUCAAAUAAGUGUCUAGAUUAUCCAAUAUUGGAUCUUAUUGUUUAAAAAAAGAUAAAAACCAUAAUAAUGCCAAAUUUGAAAGAAAUGUAUCAAUAAAUCUAACUUGUGAUCUCGGCAUUGAAUAGCUUUGAGAUUGAAGUUCAAUCACAAGUUAUACUUCAUUGAUAAAUCUUCAAAAUUUGAAUCUUCUGCCAUCAAACUUCUCAAGUAAAGCAACUCUAGGUUUUUUAAUACUAAAAGGAUGUUGUACUAUGGGAGAAGGGAUGUGAUUUGAUAUAGAUGUUGAAGCAGCUCUAAUCAUAUCUAUAUAUUCACUUUAUGUCAUUUUUAUUGCUUCUAGUGAUGAUAAAUUGAAUUGAUGCAUCACAAGAUUCAAUACUUUCAAUUACUUUUAUAUUUGUACCAUUGCACUUUUCAUUUUAAAAAACUCUUCUAUGAUAAUACUUUGAAAAAAAUAUCUAAUAUUACUCAAAACAAGCAAAAGAAAGGACUUGAGAAUAAAAAAAAUACUAAAAAUAAUAUUAAUUUAAAAGAGGAUAAUUUACAACUUCUAAUAUGCUUAUGUCUUAUCAAGAGAAAAGAAUAAUCCACUCUUAAUAAAGAGAAGAUAAAGCUCUAAUAUUAUAAGUAAAAUCUUGUGAAUUUAUCUAGAACAUGAACUAAAUGAAGUUGCAUAAACUUAUGAAAUCCAUAUAAAAAAAAAAUGACAAAAUAAAAAAAAAUAGUAUUUAUAUCAAAAAUAAAUUAAAAUGGCUAUUGCUAAAAGACAAGAAAACUAGAGAGUCUUUAAUUUAAAUUAGAAACAUGAAAAGAAUUGAUAAGAAUGAAGAAGGCUUCAUUCUUGCCUCUAUAUAUAUUAUCUACUUGGGAUUUAUAUGGCAACAUUCUGUACAACCUCCAAAAAUGAGUUGACUUUAUAUGACAUGUAUCUUAACUUAUAAAGUAAGUUUUCUAUAUAGGUGCCACAUAAUUAGCUUAUUUUACAAGCUGCCAAUCCAUGUUGCACGUAGUUAGCUUAUUAAUCAAGUUUCUAAUCUAUCAAUCAAUUACAAAUAUAUGUAAAGUCAAAAUAACAUCUAAAAAGCUUUUAAGAAGCUUUUUUAGAAGGUAUUAUGAAAUUAAUCUACUUUUAUCUACUUCUAUCUAUUCAUAUUAUUUAGGUAAUAAUUACAAUAGAUAUAUAUCCAUGACAAUAUAAUAUAAUAUCUUUUGGACUCACAAAUGCAUCAUCUAUUUUUUAACAUCUAAUGAAUGAUAUCUUUUUUGAUUUUUUUGAUGAUUUUAUUAUUUGUUAUUUAAAUAAUAUCUUAAUCUAUUCUAAGAAUAUAAAAAGUAUAAAUUUCAUAUUUGCCGUAUGUUACAAAAAUUAAGAGUUGUAGGAUUAUAUGCCAAGCUAAAAAAGUGUAUAUUUCACACUACUCAAAUUGACUUUUUAGUAUACAUCAUUACAAACAAUGGUCUUGUGAUGGAUCCUAAGAAGAUCCAAACUUUAUAGAUUAGAAGAUCUCAAGAAUAGUCAGAGAUAAGCAUUAUUUUUUAAAAUUUACUAAUUAUUAUCAAAUCUCCAUCAAAAUUUUUUCUUAAAUUGUAGUCUCACUUAUAUUACUGAUUUAAAAAGAUAAACUUGAUUGGAGCAAAGAAGCUAAAUAAAAUUUUGAAGCUUUGAAGACAACAUUUAUUUCUGGACCAAUUGUCAAGGACAAGAACUCGAUGAAAGCUAAAGAGUAAGUGAGACUUUUCUCAAAAAGAAAUAAGACAAAAUAGAAAUAUGUAUAUUAAGAAAGAAACUGGAAUGGCUAUUGCCAAAAUACAAGAAAACUAGAGACCCUUGAAACUAGACUAGAAGCAAGAAAGGAGUUGACAAGAGUGAAGAGGGCUUCACUCUUGCCUCUAUAUAUACUAUCUAACUAGAAGCCACGUGGCGAUGUUCUAUAAGACCUCCAAUAUAUGUUGACUUUCUAGGCCACAUGCCUUUGCUUGCAAGGCAAGUUUUCUAUGGAUGGACCACGUAGUUAGCUUGUUCUUUAAGCUUCCAACAUGUGUGGCACAUGGCUAACUUGUUGACCAAGUUUCUAACCUAAAAGUCAACUAUAGACUCCUAUAAAGUCAAAGCAGCAUCUAUGAAGCUUCUAAGAAGCUUCUCUAGAAGAUAUUACACAAUUAAUCUACUUUUAUCUACUUUUACAUACUUUUAUCUAUUCAUAUAGGUAAUUAUAUGUAUGUCCGUGACAUUACCCCCCCUUCUAGGAACGAGUUCCACGAGGAGCGGUGAUUAUAUAUUGAAAAAAUCUAAUAUGCGGCGAAUUGUAUUUGCUACAUACUCUGAUCUUUGUUCUCUUCGAAGAUAGUUGAUGGGUCCUCUUAGCCAUCGAUAGUGUCCCAUUCCAGGGCGAGAAGACCACCCUGUUAUUUGAUCACUGUUGAGGCCUUCAGAACUUCCUUCAAAUAAUACAUUUGAAACACCAUCAGGAGUCGUUCCUAUCUCCAAUAAUAUCACCAAACAUCGAGAAUCUCUUCCAAGGUCGUGAUACCAAACGCGUUGUAUCUCACCAUCUAUUCGAGGAAGAACAUGUCGUUCUUGAGGGUCUUCAUCUCGGUUGCGUUGUCUUGAAGGUUGUGACAAUCGCAAUGUCUCAUCCGGUAAGUCAGCAAACGAAGGUUCUUGAGUUGAAUCCGCUGGUUGUUGGCUCUCCAUCUAAUUAGCGUCACAAAAUACAAAGAAGUUACAAACAAAGAUAAGAAAUUGAAUGUUAUCUUGCCUCAAUCUUGUCUCUUUUAUAAGAGAGGUUUUCAUCUUGGUUUUGAUGGAUGUCGUUGAUGAAAAACUUUGACUUUAGCUGAUGCAUUUGCUAGAUUCCUGGAUGGCUCCCAUGUGCGCUCACUAAUAUCAUAUCCGCACCAAUGAACAAGAUAUUCCAGCUUAUUUCGGCGCCGCCUUGAGUCUAAUAUCUCUUCCACCUCAAAUUCUUCAUUAUUAUCUACUUCUAUAGGAGGCGGUGGCAUUUGUCUUCUUCCUUGUAUAUCCACUGUCUUAUAUGGUUCAAGAAGAGAUACGUGGAAUACAGGAUGGAUCUUCAUUGACUCUGGUAGAUGUAACCGAUAUGCAACUGGGUUGAUCUGUUCAGAAACAGAAAAGGGGCCAAGCCUACGAUAGUCCAAUUUAUCACAAGGUCGAGUGGUCUUGAUAUUGCGACGAAGUAGCCAUACCUUAUCACCCACGUUGAGUUGUGGUUGCUCUUUACGAUAUACAUCUGCAUUUAUCUUUUGUCGUUCUUGAGCUUUCUUCAACUGCGCCUUCAUUAUUGCAUGUAACUCUGACAACCGAUUUGCCAUAUCUUCUGCUGCAGGAUUAUCAACUUUUGAAAAAUCAAAAGUAUCAAGUCGUGGAUGAUAGCCAUAAUUGGCAAAGAAAGGUGUUUGUUGCGUGGAGGAAUGUACCGUAUUAUUAUAAGCAAACUCUGCCAAUGGCAGAAGGUUUGUCCAAUCAUCUUGUUGGUAGUUGAUGGUACACCUUAAAUACUGUUCCAAGACUUGGUUUACGCGCUUUGUUUGUCCAUCAGUUUGAGGAUGGAAAGCUGAAGAUAGCUUUAUGUCCACUUUUAAAAUCUUGAAAAGAGUCCUCCAGAAUCUCGACACAAAUUGAGUUCCCCUAUCCGAUAUGAUAUCUUUAGGUAAUCCAUGAUAGCGAUAGAUAUUAUCAAUGAAAAGCUUAGCUGUUUCUUCACCUGUGAUAGAUUUUGUACAUGGCAUAAAAUGUGCCAUCUUGGUGAAACGAUCUACUAUCACAAAUAUAGAAUCAUAAGAUCUUGAGCUUGGAAGAUCUGUGAUGAAAUCCAUAGAAACAGAAGACCAUGGUUGUUCUGGUAUAGGUAAUGGCUGAAGAAGUCCGUAAGGUCGAUGACGAGGAAUUUUUGAUCUUGAACAAAUAUCACAUGAUUGUACAAAGUCUUUGACUGACUUCCACAUUUGUGGCCACCAAAAAUCUCUUGAUAUGAGUUCCAAAGUCUUAUUAUAUCCAAAGUGCCCUGCUGCUGGAAAGUCAUGAUGUGCUUGAAGAACACGUAAACGUGCUUCUCCUUCUGGAACAUAUAGGCAUCCUUCAAAAUAUAAUAGAUUAUUCUUGAACUGGAACUUAGAAGGAUCAUGAGACUUGGAAGAAUUAUUCUCGAUAUCAUAAACAAGAGGGUCUGAGGACAUACUGGACUGGAUUUGCUUGAGAAAAGUUGAAUCAACAGUCAAUGUUGAUUUCAUUGCUCGGAGAUGAAAUUGCUCCGGUUUCAAGAGGACCGUUCUUUGUUGCUCAAAAGCUGCAUCUCCUUCUUUUGGUGCAAAAUAAGAACGUCUAGAUAGGGCAUCGGAUAAACCUUGUUGUUUUCCUGGCCGAUAAGUGAUAAUGAACUUGAAUCUUGACAAAGACAUACUCCAACGAGCUUGACGACGAUUCAACACGCGUGCUGACAUGAAAUACUCGAGGUUCUUGUGAUCUGUAUACACAGUGACUGGACUAGAAGCGCCUUCUAGAUAAUGACGCCAUUCUUGAAAGGAAUCCACGAUCGCAAGAAGUUCUUUAUCGUGGAUCUCAUAAUUGAUCUCGGCUGCUGAGAAUUUUCUUGAAUGAAAAGCUAUCGGAUGAAGUUUGUCAUCUGUUCCCAUUUGUGAUAAAACUGCACCCAAGGCAAAAUCUGAUGCAUCUGUUUCCAUAAAAAAUGCCUUGGAAAAAUCAACACGAUAUAAGACUGGUGCAGAGACAAACGAUGUCUUCAAGGCUUCAAAUGUUGCUUUCGCUUCUUGAUUCCAUUGAAAUUUAUCUUUACUAGUCAAGCGUGUAAGUGGAGCUGCAACUCGUGAGAAAUCUUUGAUGAAGAUCCGAUAGUAAUUGGCAAAUCCCAAGAAACAUUGAACAUCUCUUACUGUCCUUGGAAUCUUCCAAUCCACGAUUGUUUGGACUUUCUUAGAAUCCAUCAUGAGACCAUCAUUUGAAAUGAUGUAUCCUAAAAAGUCAACUUGAGUAGUGUGAAAUACACACUUUUCCAUCUUGGCGUACAAUCCUGCAUCUCUAAGUUUUUGUAAUACUUGACGAACAUGUAUUUCAUGUUCUUCAACAUUCUUAGAAUAAAUCAGGAUAUCGUCUAGGUAGCAGACGACAAAAUUGUCUAAGAAUUCACGAAAUACAUCAUUCAUGAGAUGUUGAAAAGCAGCUGGUGCAUUCGUGAGUCCAAAAGGCAUGACAUUAUAUUCAAAAUGCCCGUACCUGGUUCGAAACGCAGUCUUCCAUUCAUCUCCUUCUUUGAUCCGUACUAGAUUAUAUGCUCCUCUUAGAUCUAUUUUUGUAUAGAUCUUAGCUUGAUUUAACUGGUCAAGGAGUCCUGAUAUCAAAGGUAAUGGAUACCUGUUCUUGAUUGUGAUCUUGUUGAGUCCUCGAUAGUCAACACACAUUCGUAAAGAUCCAUCUUUUUUCUUUACGAAUAAAAUUGGAGCUUCUGCUGGAGAUUUUGAAUGGCGUAUGAAAUUCUUCGCUAAAUUCUCGUCAAUAUAUGUCUUGAGUUCAGCCAACUCAUCUUGCGAUAAACUGUAAAUUGGUCCAAAUGGUGGCAGAGUUCCUUCCUUGAGAUCGAUUGAACAAUCGUAUGGACGAUGCUCAGGAAGAAUAUCUGCAUUCUUUUUCUCAAAAACGUCUUGAUAAUCUUGAUAUUGACUUGGAAUGCUACUUGAAGUCUUUACGCUUUCAGAAAUAGGUGCAGCAUAAAUAGCAAAAGUUGAUCCUUCUUUUGCUGCGUGUAUAAAUGCUUUUGCACCUAUAAGUGCGAGUUUUACUAUACUAGACUCAUGGUUUUUUACUUGAUUAAUAGAACUGUUACUAAUGCUCUGAGGAAAAUCAAGUUUACGAGAAAUCCAAUCUAUUCGAGGAUUAUACUUUUCUAACCAUGAUAAGCCUAAAAUUACUGGAUUAGAGGGAGAUCUAAUUAUAUUAAAAAUUACGCAACUACUAUGACCAUUUAUUACUACAUCUACAGGAAGUGUUUCGUGAGUUACAUCUCGAGAAGACAACGGACGACCAUCUAUGACUUCUACGUGUACAGAUUUAGUUUUUUGUAUUAAUGAUAUUCUAUGACAUCUAGAAAAUUCUUCAUCUAAAAAACAAGAUGAGGCUCCUGAAUCUACCAAGGCAGAGGCUUUGUAAUUAUUAGGUCCUAAACGCACAUCUAUUAUAAAACAAGGAGAUGGUUCUGAGGAGAGGAUAGGACCUUCAUUAGAAGUUGUACAAGAUUCCAGCCGCACGGUCCCUAUUGUAGCUGGACGUACUCGUUUUCCGACAUACUGUCUUCUUUGACAACCGUACUCCUCAUUUUGUAGUUACGUCGCUUCUUUGGACAAUGUUGAGCAGUGUGCUUAGGUUCUCCACAAUAUAAGCACAACCCUUCUUGUCGACGACGAGACUUUUCUUGCUCAGUAAGAGGUUUGAAACGUACCGCAUCAAUUUGCAUAUCCUCUACUUCUGAAGGUAUGUGUUGAGGAGACGUCGGUGAUGCCAUUGAAUUGUAGUAACGUUGAGGCCUACUUGUGCGACUCUCGGAUCGAAAUUCAAAAAAUGGAUUGUCGUACUUCACAGCAAAGUCAAUUGCUUGACUCAAUGUUUGAGGAUCAGGUAAAUUAAGCAUCAAUUUCUUUACCUCAUAUUGUAAUCCGUAGAAAAAUUGACUCACAAGUGCGGCAUCAUCCCACUUGAUAUCAGUUGCAAGUUGUCGAAAUUACGAAGCAUAUAAUGUUACUGAUCGAUUGCCUUGUCGCAAAAUACGGAUCUUGUUGGUUGCAACACGAAUUACAUCAUGUUCUCCAAACAUGGAUCGAAACUCCGCCAAAAAAUCCUCCAGAUUAUCCAAUAUUGGAUCUCGUCGUUCAAGAAAAGAUGAAAACCAUGACAAUGCUGAACCUGAAAGAAGUGUACCAAUGAAUCUAACUUGUGACCCUGGAGUUGGAUAGCUCUAGGGUUGAAGUUCAAUCACUAGUUGGACCUGAUUGAUGAAUCCUCGAAACUUGGAUCUGAUACCAUCAAACUUCUCGGGCAAGGCAACUCUCGGUUCUCUAACACUCGAAGGGUGUUCCAUUCUGGGAGAAGGGACAUGGUUUGGUGUAGAUGUUGAAGCAGCCCCAAUCAUCUCUAUAUCUUCACUUCCUACCAUUCUUGUUGCUCCUUGUGGUAGUAAAUUGAGUUGAUGCAUCGCAAGCAUUAACUCCCUCAAUUGUUCUUGCAUCUGUGCCAUUGCACUCUUCAUUUCAACAAGCUCUGCCAUAGUAGCACUUAGAAAAGAGAAGAUGUCUAAUAACGCUCAAAACAAAUAGAAGAGAGGAAUUGAUAACAAAGAAAAUACUAAGAACAAUAUCAGUUUAAAAGAGGGUAAUCCGCAACUUCUAAUGCACUUAUGUCUUAUCAAAAAAAAGGGGUAAUCCACUCUUAAUCAAGAAAAGACAAAGCUCUGAUAUUGUAAGUGCACUCUUGUCAAUCUGUCAAGGACAAGAACUCGAUGAAAGCUAAAGAGUAAGUGAGACUUUUCUCAAAAAGAAAUAAGACAAAAUAGAAAUAUGUAUAUUAAGAAAGAAACUGGAAUGGCUAUUGCCAAAAUAUAAGAAAACUAGAGACCCUUGAAACUAGACUAGAAGCAAGAAAGGAGUUGACAAGAGUGAAGAGGGCUUCACUCUUGCCUCUAUAUAUACUAUCUAACUAGAAGCCACGUGGCGAUGUUCUAUAAGACCUCCAAUAUAUAUUGACUUUCUAGGCCACAUGCCUUUGCUUGCAAGGCAAGUUUUCUAUGGAUGGACCACGUAGUUAGCUUGUUCUUUAAGCUUCCAACAUGUGUGGUACAUGGCUAACUUGUUGACCAAGUUUCUAACCUAAAAGUCAACUAUAGACUCCUAUAAAGUCAAAGCAGCAUCUAUGAAGCUUCUAAGAAGCUUCUCUAGAAGAUAUUACACAAUUAACCUACUUUUAUCUACUUUUACAUACUUUUAUCUAUUCAUAUAGGUAAUUAUAUGUAUGUCCGUGACACCAAUCUUGUAUUGCAUUGAUUUUUUCAAGGCAUUCUUCAUAAAAAAAAAUGCAUUAAAUUUUACUAUGGAUAUUCUUAUUGUAAUGUAAUAUGAUUAAUAAAUGAAAGAGAGAAGAAAAUAUUAUGUUAUAGAAGAUCUUAUUUUAAAAUAUUAUAAUAAAUUAUCUUAAAAAUAUAGAUAUUAGUCAAAAGAUAAUAAAACUAAAAAGUGUUAAUAUUGCCUUCUUUUCAAAUAUGCUUCUAUUUAGUUUGUAGUACCAUAAAUAAAAUAGAACAAAGUAGGUUGGAAAAUUAAAUAAUAUAGGCAUAUGAAGAAUAGAGUUAAGAAUAGAUUUUAGCAAAUUUUACUUCAAAAGACCAAGAAUUGAUACUUAAAGAGAAUCGGUUGUCAACUUAGAUUGAAAUCAAACCUUAAGACACAAAAUUACACACAUAUGAUGACUUUAUGAUUCUUUUCUUGAUCAAAAAGUGAAAUUUGAGAGAAAACUUAAAAAAAGAUUUUUAGAAAUUAUUUUGAUGUCGUUUGCAUGAAUAUUGAUAUUUUGAAAGAUUUUCAAAGUUAAUAAUGUUCUUAGUAGAAUUAAGAUUUGAGAAAUAAAAAUAUGUUAAUAAAUUUGAGGUUUUCUUGAGUUUUGUGGUGUGUAUAUAAGUGUAAUUUGGAUAGUGUAUUGGUAUACUAAUUGAAAAUAUAUAUACAAAUUUUGAAGUCAACUAAAUAGUUAGAUUGAGGUAUAUAAAGGAUUUUGUGGGUUGAGGUCUCAAGAAUUAGAGUUUGAAGGUUAGUGAGUAUUUCUAAAAUCUUCAAUAAUUUGUCAAUUGGAUUUAAGUGGAUUUUUUUUUUAUGGAUAGAAGAUUCAAUUUUCAAUGUUUGAAUGAAAUUUGAAAGAAAUUUGAUAAUUUUAAAAGUAGAUAUUUCCAUUAAAAAUUUAGUAUUUAAGUUGGAAUAGGAGGCUACUCAACACCUAAUUAGAUUAUCGAGAAUUUCUUUCAAUUGGUAAGUGCAAUCAAUUUCAUCUUUUUUGUGCUUGUUUCUAAUUAAAAUAUUAAAAAUUAUAAAGAUUUUGAAUUGAUAUCAAUAGUUUGAUCAUUAUUUUUUGAGUUUUUUUUUUGCAAUAAGAUUUGCUAAGAAUUUGUUUAAGAUUGAGGAUUUGAUUAGGAUUUGAUUUAAAACUUAUUUAGGAUUUUUUUACGAUUUAAGAUUUGAUUAGUAUUUGAUUAGGAUUUGAUCUAGGAUUUGAUUAAGAUUUAAUUAAAGUUUUAAUUAAGAUUUUAUUUAGGAUUUGAUUAAGAUUUAAUUAAGAUUUCAAUUGGUAUUAUAUUAGAAUUUUUUUUUUAGUAUUUUCUUAUGUAUCUUUGCAUUUCUUUUGUAACUUCUUUAAAAUUUAUUUUAACAAGCUAAAGUUUGAUUGGAUUUAUUAGAGAUUAUUUGAAGUUUAUUUAAGACUCUAUUAGACUUAAUAGAAUUAUUUUUGAAUUUUCAUUACAUGCUUGAUAUAUUCUGUAGAAUAGAUAUUAGUAUGUUUUUGUAAGAUAUUGAUAAAAUAGACUAAUAGUCCAUAGAAUAGUUAAUUCAAGAGGACGGAUGAUUAACUUAGUUAUUAAAAGUAAUUAAUUAUAAGAUUAU